This 77296-nucleotide long non-coding RNA is filed under the name Durio zibethinus. RNAcentral describes it as "long non-coding RNA (DZIB_LNC001682)". Lineage: Eukaryota; Viridiplantae; Streptophyta; Magnoliopsida; Malvales; Malvaceae. The record is from RNAcentral.
UCUUUUUAAAACAAGGUAAUCUUUUUUGUAAUCUCUUUCAAUUUUGUUUCUACUUUAGUUUUCUCAGCUCUUACAGAAAGAAAAGCUUUGGCUUUAGACAUAUAUGUGUCAAUACACUUAAGUCUGAAUUUGGCUUUCAAGGCAUCAUCCAUAAAUUACAACAUCAAUUACAAUCUUUUUGAAGAAGUAUCAGAUAAUGGAGUAUCUGUAAUUAACAAAGCUUUUCCUAAAAUAUCCAAAGUGCAAUAGAUAAAUUUUUCACUCUAAAAGAUACGGGUAUUCCAAAAUUUGCCAUCUUUUUGAUAAAUAUAGUUUAAAUAUUUCACAUAUUUUGAUAGAAUAGAAAAAUCAUGAAAAUCCAUUCUAGCUAGAGCAUUCCCAAAAUGUGUUUCAAGCGCAUCAAAAGCAUUAAUAGAAUCUUUGUGUCCUAACACUAGAGAGUAAAAAACACGAAAAGCAAUAUCAUAAACAACAACAAUAUGAACAAGUUGAGUCUAAAUAGUUUGAGCAUUAAAAUAUCAACUAAGGUUCUUGAAUUAUAUACUUAGGCAUUUUCAACAUUAGCUUCACCUUUAUUUUUUUCAACAUUAUCAUCAACAUUAGGAAAGUAUGGACCAUCAGUCCUAUCAUCAUGUUCAUCAUCACAAGACUUUCACCAUCACUAAUAAUAAGUUUUUCCUUCUGAAUAAGUUUCCCCUACAAAAACAUAACAUAAAUAUGAAAUACACAUCUUAAAAAAAAAAGAACAAGAAAGAACAAGAAAAGUGAGAAGAACUUUCUUUAUGAUAAGACAUAUAUUUCUCUUUUAAUUGGCAUGAAGCAUGAGAAGCAGCAAUACUAGUGAUUUUUUCAUCUAUCUGAUUCUUACAUGUUUUUUCUUUUUCCUUGGAUGAAACAUGUAUCAAGCAUAAAGAUAUAUCACUUCGAGCAAUAUUAAGAAUUGAGAGAUGUUUCUUAGAAUUAUACAACAGUAUGCAAAAGGUUUUUCAAUAAAAAAUACACUCAUCCUAAUAAGCAAACCAUUCAGGACUGCAGUAGCUAACAAUAUUAAAUGUUGGCACAAUAUAAUGUCUAACCUCUUUACAUUUCUUCUGAACCUCAUAAAAAGGGAACUCAAAAAUAUAAGAGGAGAAAUCUUCAUCCAAAGGUGUAAGAGGAGUACACGAAAUCAUUUGAUAAUACCCAAAUUAAUAUGCAACUCAACACAUUGAAUAUACUUAAACGAAACGUGAAUCUCUAUCAUUGCCAGCAUUAGUACUGUCUAUCAUACAAGGCAGCACAAUACAGUUGACCCAAAAAUAGAACUCAAUUUCUUGCUGGCUUAAUGUUUGAGAAUAAGAUUGGCUUGGAGUACCAUAGUAAGAAAUAGGAUCAUCAUAGCCAUUUUUCAUUUGUAAGUAUGGGUGCCAAACAAACCCCUUAGCUAUAUCUAACACUUCAAGAACAUUUCUCUUUGUAGUAUGAUUAUGCUAUGCUCAAACUCUAUAAUUAUUUUUGAAGAGAAAGCCAGAUGAAUAAGUAGUAAGUGGAGGGUGUGGAUUAUGUAUUAGAGCACAAACACUAAAUCUUUUCCAUAAGCACAAUUGAAUAAAGGAAAUAUUGAUAUAUAUCAGAAUCUUAUACCUACCAAUUGAUGUUUCAUUCUUGGAAAGAUAUAAAUCCAAUCACUUAUAGAGUGAUCCCAAAUAGAAAAAAGCUAAUAAGAAACACAUACCUUUAGCAAUUUUAAUAGCUAUAGGAAUGAGGCUAGACUAAUUCCAUCAUUUGGAUAUCCUGGAAAUACAUGUUGAGCUACCCUCAUCAUUAAUAGUGCUUCCAAUUCAUACUUAGGAUUAGAAAAUUAAAAAGAGUUACUUUCACCUUCUUUUGGUUUGAAUUUAUUAAAAAAGAGUCCAACCCAAUUAGAGAAUCAAGCUGCCUUUGAUUUCUUCAUCCAACACUUGAGCAAAUCACAAAAGAAAUUACAAAUUUUCUCCUCAUUUUUAGACAAUUGAAUAGUACAAAUAUUAUGUCUCCUAAGACAAAGAAGUUCAAGAAGGACACAUGCAUCUUCAAGAGUACAAAUGAACUUUCCCUAAGCAAUGAUCAUAAUAUGAGAAAAAGUACUCCAUCUAGCAACAAUAACACGGCAUACAUUUAUUCUACCUUUCCUACAAAUACAAAGUUUGAAGGUAACUCAUACAACAUUAAACAUUUCUACUGAAGACAAAACUUUUGCAUAGGUUGGCUUUUCAAUUACUUUGUUCACCCAAUCUUUCCAACCUUGAGCAGGUUGCUAAUUUGAACCAAACUUAGUAAUAGAAAGUCGAAAUUCUCCACGCUUAAACUUGAAUUUUAGAAUAAAAGAGCCUAGAAUAUAAACUCUAUAAGUCAAUGCUUCAGAACCAAUACUUCGCCAAUAAUAGCCAACAAAAAUGCUUUGAUAAAAAGAAAAUUUUUUCUCAUGCACUUAUUCCCAAAAAUGAUCUUUUCCUCCUUUUCUAAUGAUUUUAUCUGACCAAUCUUUAGGAAUAGAAAGAAGUACACAAUUCUUUCCAAUGUGAAGAUGUACUUUCUUUUCAAGAUGUGUUUUUGGAAUAGAAUAUUCUAGAAUAUUAUUUUUUCUUUUCCUCAUAAAAGCUUGAGCAGUGUGGGAAGGUUGGCUAUAAUAGAUUCUUAGCAUUGAAAGUGAAGAAUACCUACAAAAAAUCGACAACAAAAUUUAGAUAAGUUUUUCUUAAACAGACGCAAUAAUUUUUUAUUUAUUCUAAAAAAAAAUCGAAUAGCUUAAAAAAAAUAGUCAAAUAGUAAAAAAAAAAAGAGACGAAUACAUGUUCACAAGAUCAAAAAUUUUUUCAGAGGAAUUAGACUUUCACUUAACUUUGAAUUGAAAAGUUUCUCAAGUUAAGAGAAUCAAAAUUUUUUUAUUAACAAAUAUUUAUUUUCCUUAUUUAAAAAGAGUUUUAAUAAAAUCUUUAAAAUUUUAAUUUUAUUCUUCAAACUUCAUUAAAUUUUAUUUUAAAAACAUUUUAACACUUUCUGAUAUCCUAUACAAUAUUUUACUAUACUGUUAUAGAAAUUCCUUUCAAGAAUAAGAUUAAUUUCAUUAUCUAUUUAAUUAUUUUACUUAUUUUAUUUUUUCUCAAAAUAUGUGCCAUAAGAUUUCAGAUAAUGCUCCAUAUUCUUAGUUUUGAAUCUAAAUCAAUUAUAAGUAGUAAUAAUAAUAAUAAACAAAUAAAUAAAUAAAAAUAAAAGAAGUCAAAGAUUCUCACCAAUCAAUCCUAACAUCAAUCAGUUAAAAUUGGCCUUAUUCUUUUUUGUUUCAAUGUAAAGCAUUCUUACAAAGACAUCAAAACGUGUAUAAUAUAUAUUUUUGAUGUUGAGGCAUAUAUUGACUUAAACAUAUAAUAAUUACCUACACAGAUUUAGCAUUUUCAUAAAUCAUGAAGAUUUAUUUGUUUUACUCAUGAUUUUCUUUCAGGGAAAUGGUGUAAGAAUAAAAUAGAACAACUUCAUUUUUGUUAUUUUAUUUUAUUUUACUUUUGAGAAACAUUUUUAUUAUCUAUUCUUUUUAAUAAUUUUUCUAUUUUUUAAGGUAUCACUCCCUUACUUAUUCCUUUUAAUAAUUCUUUUAUUUUUUAGAGAAACACUCCUAUUAUCAUUUAUUUUUAUUAAUUUUCUUAUUUUUUAAGGAAACACUUUCUUACCUAUUCCUUUUAAUAGUUCCUCUAUGUUUUAGGGAAACACUUUUACUGCUUAUUCUCUUUUUUUUUUUUUUUUUUAAAGAAACACUUCCACUACUUAUUCUCCUAUUUUCUUUAGAAAACACUCUCACUACUUAUUCCUUUUUUUUUUUUUUUCUUUUAGAGAAACACUAAUGUUAUGCCCUACACUUUCAUACAUUACUUGUCUAAUAUGUAACUCUUUGAUUUACAACAUUAAAAUUUUCUUGUUCUGUGCAUGAAACAUUCUUUAAUUUUCAUCAAACAAUUUUCAUGUAGGGGGCAAUGAAUCCACACAUAUACAAUCACAAAUAUGUGUAUAUAAUUUUUUUCUUUCAUUAAACUUAUGUAUACAUCUUUAAAUUACAAGAAUAAAUAUAUUUUAUUUUCAUAUUUUUUUGCUUUUACUCUUUCAUUAUUCUAGUGCAUGAAAACUUCUAAUACUAUGAAUUCUCAUAUAGGGGGCAAAAUGUAGAUUGUUGAUUUUGGUUACUAAUAUUUUAUUCUUUUAAAUUUCUCUAAAGUUGUUAAAAUUAAGAAUAAGUCAGAACAUGUGUUAAGACUAUUUUAGUGAAGGUUAUUUUAUGGAACAGUUGACAAGACUAUUUCAGUGAAGGUUACUUUAUGGAACAACUAUUCAUAAAACAACCCUUUUAUAGAAUAGUGUUUACGGAACAACUAUCCAAGGAAUAACUCUUUCACGAGACAGUUGUUCUUGAAACAACUUUCUUAAAGAACAAAAGCAAUAUCUUUAUUGGAAACUCAUGAAACACAAGUUGCUUCACUAAGAGUUAUUUCACAAAAUAAGCUUCAUUGAAUGUUACUUCAUUGAAAAAAAAAAUGAAAAUAACUUGGGAAUAUGGUAGGGUUCUUAGUUUAAUCCACUAUUGGGAUGUUUUGCAUAGUUUGGCUUGGUAGAUCAGAUAUGGAGAUAGUUAAGGCAUUUUUUUUAACCUUUCCCUGAAAUAUGAAUGCUUUUUUUUUUUUUUUUCAGAAUAGAUAGUGAACUUCUAUGUCUAUUAUACUUAUCACUAAAAGCUAAUUAGACACCCAUUAAUUAAUACAUUAAUACCUUUUGUAAUAGUCAAUUCUUCCAUUAUUCACCAUUAUUCUUGUUCAAUACUCAAGAUAUGUAACUCCUAUUCUUGAAGACCUAUAAAUAGGAGUUUCCACAAUUCAUUGGGAGACUUAUGGAGACUUUUGCCAAACUUACUCAGUUCUCUUUAUAAUUCUCUCUUCUUAAGUCCUUUUUUUAAUCUCAUUCUCUUCUUUACUCAGCUUGACUUCACCACCUACAACCACCUACCGCUAUGCUUAAUAGUUUAGGGUUUGCUCCAAUCUUUUUUUUUACCUUUUCCCAGCACAUCUUGUUUUACUUGUUUGCAACGCUUUCUCACCUCAACAAAGAACCCAUUUACACCCACUUAAUUCAUGAUGCAUCUUGUUGAGCCAAAUGUAGCAAUAGAACAUUUUAGGCCUAUCGGACAACUUGUAUAUGCAUACAUAUUUUCAAAAUGAUAUUGGUACUAAAUAUUGAUUGUACUUGCGAAAGAUGUCAAAAAGACCAUUGUAGAGAAUUCUUUGAUGACUACCAACCAAGAAAGGAGAAAAAAAUUUUUUUAGGAAUAACUUAAAGAAAGAUAUCAAGAUAGGGACAUUGAAGUUGAUUUCUUUUCUUUACUCUUCUUGCAAAUUAACUAGACUUUAAAACAAUAGAAAAGUGGAUAAACAAAGUCAGAGAAAAACAACCAAUUAAACACAAGCCUAAAAAAAUUAUAGGAUACCCUAUCAAUUAAAGCCAAAAGUGACAUCUAUCUUAACACUUCAUUAUGUUUCAGAUACCACAACAAGAGCUUCUUUGAACAUUUUUCCCACACUUUUAAAAUAAAUGGAAUAAGGUAAUCUUCCUUAUUUACGGGAGGAUAACCUUAUCAUCAAAAUGGAUGAGUUAGAUUCAUUUUUCACUAUGUUUUUUGAACCAUUUUUUAUAACACAAUGGAAACAAUUCCUGAGAUAUUUCUUUUUGAACGAUUGUUGAAAUGCCAUAAGAUAACUAUGAAGUUCACGACCUUGAUCCAAUGCAAGCAAAUCAUGUGCUCCUUCUUCAAGUGCAUAAUCAUUCAUCUUCAACAAGAUUUUUAGUCUUUACUAUUAAUGACAUCACUCUAUCAUAACGGCAUAGAUUUCAGGAAUUCCUAGUAUGUGGAUUAAUUGAACUCAAUUACAAUUCUAAUUUAACAUUGUAAAUGGUAUGAAUCUGUUUUGCAUCAAGAUUAGUUGGAACCUUGAAAAAUGUUUAGGAUAGCAUAGCAAAUAUAGGCAAUCAAUUUUCUUAUAAUGUGUCACACUUAUAAAAGCUAUCUCUAUUCUUAGCUAUAUUAUGUGGACAAGAAACUCCUUAAAAUUGACAAGAUUAUAGAGCAAUUUUGCCAACCCAAAUGUUUUCUUCUACAAAAUAUCUUUGAUCGAUAUUAUCAACAAUUUUUACAAUAUUAUUAUCUUUUUAGAGGUAAUGGUAAUAUUAACCUUAAGCAAGCUUUCCUCGCUUUAGUUCAUGAAGAACUUGGUCAACAUAAACAAAUUCAACUUAAUAUUAGAUCUUUUGAUUUAAAUACUUAGAAUGUCAAUGACAUUUAAAAGCUUACGCUAAAAGCCUUUGAGAAGACUUUUACAUUUCUAAUUUGGUGAAUAACUCUCAAAAAUAGAAAAGCCACAUGCAUAUCCAACAAAUUGCUUACAAGUUAAAUGUUUCUCCAAGAUUCUUCUUGUCGAUAUUGUUUGUAGAAGAAAAAGAAAAAUUUUAGAAAGUUUCAUUUGUCCACUCGAGCUAGAGAUUUCCAUUUUUCCAAGCAUAGAAAUAAUUUCAGAGUGAAAGUCGAGAAGAUUCAAAAAAUUUAAGUUUGGUACAAAGAAGCAUGACUUAAAGAAGAAAUCCACCAAUUGUUUUCUUUACAGACAACCAGGACAUAAUGCUAAAUAGUGCUUAAACUCUGACAAAAAAUCUAUUAAAAUGAUACAAGAUAUUGCUAAUAUUUUGGGUAUUAAUCUUUUAGAUAUGAUCUUGAAUUGUUAUUGUCCCUUGAUGAUGAACAACCUCAUAAUCACUAUUUAUGAUCCAACAAUAUGUGGAUAGUGAUUUUGACUCCUUAAAUAUAACUUGGAUGAAGAAAAGCAUGAUUAUAUGGUAAUCCAAGAAAUUCAACGUACGAAGACCUGUUUUGCCCUUGUUCAGAUAUUUUUGGAUGAUCAUUCACUUUUAGUUCAAGUGAAAGCUUUCUUUAACACAAGCAAUCUAGACAAUUGCAAACCCCUUUGUUUUAACCCGUUCAAUCCUACUUUAUGAUCAUUAAUGAAAAUGUGUUUUCUAUAAUUUUUAUUAACAAACCAUUCAUUUUUUUAUGUACAAUUACACAAAAAGUUUUAGGAACUAGUUGUUGGUGUUGAUAUCAUUAUUGCCAAAUUAGGUCUUAAGCUUAGUUGUACAAGAAUUUAGUUCAAACAUUUUUUUUCAUGGAAAAUACCAAACUUUUUUACUAUAUAUUCCUAUUCAGCUUCAUUUUUCAUGGAAUUAAACAGAAGUUAAUAUGGACUUAAUGUGCAAACAUGCAUUCAUAAUUCUUCAAAAAAUUUAAACACCCAUUUUGGCAAAGCUUAAAAAUUUUCAUAAUCUUUUCUUUCAAGAAAAAUGAGAAAAUCCGACAAAAGCUAGUUAUUCAUGUAUGAAUCCACAAGACUUGAAGUUACCUAUUGAAAAAUGCUCUAGUAAGGAAUCAUUGAAUCUAAUUCUUUUCCAUGGCAUAUAAAGCAUUUUACGUCAACAAAAUAUCAUAACAAAUUUGUAAAAAGAUUAAGACUGAUUGUUAAUUAUAAGUCUUUUAAUCUUUUUCUUAACAACGAUAAAUUUUCCCUUUAAACAAAAAAACUUUUUUUGUAAUUUUGUCUUAGGUAAUAUUAUUCUUGAAAUUUGAUCUUAAAGAAAGAUUUUUGGCAAUUAGGUAUCCAUCCAUCACAAAGAUAGAAAAUAACUUUCUACAUCCCACAACAUCAUUUUCAAUGGACAGUUUUGGCUUUUGGAUUAAAAGUAACUCCUUCAAUGUUCCAAAAAGCAAUGUUAGAAAUCUUUGCUAUUAUCCUUGCUAAUGCUUUCAUAUAUAUACAUUGAUGAUAUCCUUCUAUUUUUUUUUUCAAAGGAUUAUACUCAUGCAUAGUUACUUGAUAGUUUUCAAUGCAUGGUUCAACAAUAUAGAAUCAUGUUGUCAAAAAAAUGACAAUAGAAUCAUGUUUGGUAAUUCGUUAUAGAGGCAACCAAUCUUGUUGAUAUUAGAGCCAACAUGACAAAAAUAAAAAAUAAAAUUGUGAUAUUAUUUGACUGCUAGAUUGAGAUAGUAAGUCCUAACAAUCAUGAAUCCAUAUCAAACUUCUAUUUUUAGUUGCUCUUAUUUUUUUUCUUUACCCUCUCCUGUACUUAGAAAAUUUUCAACUUUUAAAUUAAAUUUCAUUUAUGAGAUUGAUUGUGCUCAAAUUUUAGCUUUUUCAUGCUUGUUUUUAAUGCAAUUUUACUUAUAUUUUGGCUUGUUCCUUAGAAAUUUUAGCAAAAUUAUUCCUAAAUGCAUAUUUUUCUCAUGUGUAGGUACAAAUAAUGGAAUUGAGGAAUUUUAGACAUUUUUUAUUCAAAAUUGGAGGAUUUUUUGUGCAAUUUAUGCAUAUGACCUAAACUAGUGUCAAUAGGCCACAUUAACAUUAAGGGAGUUUUCUUGAUUUUUUUAGCAUAAUUUUUCAGUAUUAUUUUCAUAGUAAUUUCUUAGUAAAAUGUAGGAUAAAAAUGUUCGUACAAUGUUUGAAAUUUUUUUGCAAAAAAAAAAGAUGUAAGACACAUUGGUAUAUGGGUGCAUUGAGGAUCAAGCAAUUACAAGGUUGCAUAAACUGGGUUGGAUAGCAGCAAAGCUAGGAGCUAAGUUAGCAUUUUGGGAGGCUAUGAUUGACUAUAAUUUUGACUUUAUGAAUCAUCAAGUACACAUGAAAGAAGCUUGAAAUUCUAUUAAGAAUAAUGAACAAGCACCGGUAUGCACUAGACCAAUCUUGAACACAUGGAAAGGAUGAAAGCUCUAGAAGCCAAGCCAAUGAGAGAUCUUUCUGGAUUUUUUUAGGCAUGAAGCUCCUCCCCUCUGACUAUAAAUAGGGAGAGAGCCUAGCCCUAGGAAGAGAGUUACUUUAGGAUUUAAAUUUUUGUUUUUUUAUUUUCCUACAUUUUCCUUUCUAUAUGUUACAUUUUCUUAGUUUCCAAACAAUUUAUUUUCAGCAUCUUACGUUUGAAUUUUAUUCCAAUUUUACUAUUUCCUAAGUGUUUUUCAGUGCUCUUUUCAAUAAAAUUUAAAUUUGAAUUCAUUUUUUUGCUAAAAUCUACUAAUUUUUCAUUCAUACUCAAAACUAUUUUUGAAUUUGUUUGCUUUAACCUAUCUGUUGUUUUUGGAUCAUAUCUCUAUCAAAUCUUGCUUGUUUUAAUCAAGUUUUUCUUUUAUAGUUUCCUAAGUCUUAGAGCUACAACAUAGUAAAAAUUAAGCUUCACACACACACGACAACGUGCUUGAUCAAGCUUAGAAAUUUUGGCUAGAUGCAAGUGAUAAUGUAGAUCCAAUUUUGAACAACCAAUAGGGCAUGGACUUCUCUCCACUUUGGCAAUUUGUUUGCAUUUUUUUCUUCUUUAGAUUUUUGUUUCUACUUGUUACUUCAUGCUUUUCAUUGCUGUUUGGUUAAUUUUCUUUAAUGAUGUUUUGUUUUUCUAGAUUCUACACUAUUUUUGCAUUUGAGUUCAUUGAGCUGAUUUUUCUAUUGAUUCAUGUUAUUUUCUUGUUAAUUUAGAUAGAUAGCUCAUAGAUAUAUGUUUAUUUAGCUUAGUUUUAGUUCAUUUCCUCUAGAAAAUUGUAGAUCUAAUUUAUCUUCCACGAAUUAUUAGUUUUUAGCUUUCAAAAUCAGUUUUAGUUUCUAAUUUCUUUUGUUGAAUCUAUCAAUUUUUUUUUUUAGUUUUUGUUCUUCAUUUGAAUUAUUGUAUUGUUCUUUUAGUGUAAUUUCAAUUUAUAGUACAUAGUCAUUUGAUCUUGUAUUAUUUAAAGUUAGAAAGCCAUCUUGAAGUCAUGGUUCCAUAUUAGCCUGAAAUUUUUGGUUUUUGCUUACUUGAUUGCAUUUUGUGUUUUUAAUUUAUAAUUUUCACUUUAAUUUCAUUUUUACACUAGUUAAUCUAUUGUUUUGUAAAUUUACAGUUUGUUUGGAAAUUUUCUCUAGAAUUUUUUAGCUCCUUUCAUUAGAUGUUAAGUUGUUAGUGAUAGUUAGUUAAUUCGGUUAAUAAGUUUUAGUUAUUGUUUUUGUUUCAAUUUUUACUUGUUAUUUUUCAUCUUAGAUUAGAGUUAUAUCUUGAUUCAUGUUUAGUUCAUUUCAUUUUAUUUUACCUACUGCUUUUGCAUUUUAUUUUACUUAGUUUACACGUUGCAAUUUUACAUUAUGCAAUACUUGUGUUAGAUGUAUUGUUUGAUUUUUAUUCUUUUUAGUUAGUUUAAUGUCAUGUUUUUCUAUGUUUGAUUAAUCCAACAUUAGAAGGGUAUGGGGAUAAAAGGUACUUAGUUUGGGAACCUUUUUAGCUAAUCCUCAUGGGAUCGAUAUCUUGACCUUUUGGUCACUAUUAUUACUGGUACGACCUAUGUACUUACAGAAUUGUCCAAUCAAGUUUUUGGCGCCAUUGCUAGGGAUUAGAAGUCAAGAAUCCUAGGUUAAUAUUAAUCUUCACCAUGAGCUUCUGUAGAUUGGUUUACCCUUUGUUUACUUUUGUUAGGCUAGUACUAACUUGCUUUGUUUUUGUUUCCUUAGGUUGUACACAACUAACUUUCUUAACGUAGGUUUUUGUUUAGGAUUUGUUUUUUAUUUUCACAUGUGGGAUUCCAAUACUUAUGACAUAUAGAGCAUCAUGUGGGCCAUGCUAGAUUUUAUUAUUUUAAUAACUACCUAAUACUAUGGCCUAGUGAGGAAGACAAUGCCAAAAUAUAGUCGGCCUUUAAAGAUUUAUUCAAAAAAUUUGACUCUAUAAAAAAUAAAGUAGAGGCCAUUAAAGCUAGGUAUGAUCCUAAGCCUACUUUUGUCGAUAACUUUCUAAGCUAGCAUGAUAAUGGUCAAGUGUAUGGUGGAGUUUACUAUAGUGAUAAGUGUCCAUAUAACCAAUACUUUCAGUCUUACACAAACACUUACAUUAGUCACACUUGGGAGGGUUAUCCUAAGAACAUGUAGGAUAAUAGUUUAGGGCAUUUAUUUAGUUCACUACCUCAGUACACUCUGAUUUAUCCUACCAAGCAUUCAUUUCCACAAUACCCUCUGCCACCCUAAUAUUUUCCACCAUCAUUGCAAUUCCUCAAGUGUUACAUUAUGCUCCACCAUAGCAACAUUUUUCUCCAUCACAACACCAUUCAUCUUCACAUUACUUUCCAUCCACACCAUAUUCACCACCACUUCCUCAAUAAGAAAAAAAACCAUCCCUUGAGGAAAUGCUCAUUGAAUUGUUCCAAACUCAAGAAAAAUACCAACAAGACCUAGAGGCAUACAUUAGGAAUUCUAGGCAAUAUGGUCAAAAUGUGCACAUAUUUAAUACUUGCCUUUUAGAUCCUAUGCCUAGUACUAUAAAGUCAACACCUUCUUGAGAGGAGAAUUAGGAGCAUACAUUAGGAAAUCAUUUAAAGGGAGAUAAUUCCAGACAGAUUGAUGGUGAUGAUGAGCCUAAUGUGUUGAAGUCACCAUAUUUUGUAAAAGUUAUGAAGGAAGAGAUAGUGGAGGCAGAAGACAAGUCUAGGGCUAGUGAAGUUGAUGAUGAUGGAUCAUUUAGGGUAGUUAAGAUAGAAAAUAACAUUCAAGAAGAAGUUAAUCUUGAUAUUCCACUAAUGCAAUUUUUGAGUUCUUUGAUGAUCACUUACCCGAUUAUGUGAAGAUGCACGAGGUAGAUAGAUGUGUUGAUAAGGCAAGCUUACUAGAUAAAUCACUUAAGCACUUAGACACAUUUCUUCUUGAAUCUAGUAUUGAGCUUAAGGAUGAGGAGGAACUAAUUAGGAAAGAACUUACUUGUCUAGCAGCUUUUCUAUUCCAUAAUCCUAUGUCUAAAGUUAUAGACACCUCAUUCCUAGAACUUUUUUUAGAUAGACCAUCCAUGGAGAAAAAUGUGAGUGAAAAUGAUUUUGGAAAGGACAUCUCAAUUUCCUACCUUGAUUUGCAAAAAGGUCUUAGUAAUGGUCCUAAACAAGAAAAAGUGAACCUUAUAGUAUAACCAUGCUAUUUCCUCGAUUCUUUGAAAAUUCAUUGUAUGAUGAGUUAUAAAUGCAUGUGUUUAAAAACUCUCUAUUCAAUGAUUGUGAUUAGGGUUGUUUGACUCCACCAUUAAAUACAACCCUUGUUAAGCUUACACCUAUAUCAUUUAUAGAGGAUUCUUUCAUUGUAGAACCUAUAUGCAUAUUCUCUAGGGUGGUACCCAUCUCAUUGGUACAAAAGCCAAUGACCACCUUUGUUGGUCCUUAUUGCAAUAUACUUAGAUUGUUCAUAAAGGUGGAACAUAAAUCUACUUGUGUGUACUACAUUCACUUAGAGUUUGUCAUCACAUAUUUGGUGAAAAGGAAGAGAAUAAAAUAGGUAGAUUUGAGAAAAAAAUGUAGUGUGAUUCUCUAACACUUGUGAAAGUCAAGCUUUUGACUUUAAAUAAAGUGCUUCUUGGCAACCCAAGCUUUACAUUUCAUGUUUUGUUUUCAUAUAUUUUGCUUAUCAUUUCUUAUACAUAUUAAUGUAGUGUGAUAGGUAGAGAUUGAUAAUUGAUAUAGCUUUAGGAAAAGAUUGAAUGUGCGUGAAAUAUGAGAUGAUGCUUAGCUUAGGUUUAGUGAAUUCUUAAAUAUGGUUUUCAUUUGUGAGUGAUGUUUUGAACAUUGAAUUGCAUUUUUUUUUAUCUAGUAUUGAUUAUGUAAGGAUGAGAUUAUUUUUAUAUUGGUCUUUGGAGUUGUUUUUCAUGAUUCUAGAAUCUGUUUUGAUCAUUUUUCGAGGUAAAAUCCUAGAGACACAUGAUUAGGGAAAUGAUAUAGGCCUGUUUUGGAUCGUUUGAGCCUUUCAAGCCAACCUUGAUAGAAAUUUUUCAUAGUCACCCCAUUUGAGUCUUAUGAUGCCUUUUCUUUGUUUUGAAACCACAUUACAAGCCUAUAGCCUUAUUUGAAUAUUUUCUAUCUUUUUGGUCCUUUACCUAUAUGAAUUAGGACAUUAAUGUAGCAUUUGUGAGCUAUGCAUUAUUAGGGAGGAAAUGUGGAGCUUGGAAAAAAAAUGGAAAAAUAAAAAAAUUUGUAAAAAAAAAAAGAAGACAAAGAAAAAAGUUAUGAAAAAAAAAUAAAAACAAAAGCAAUAAAGUGGUGAAAAAGCAAAUAAAAGAAGAAAAGAAAAAAAUAUAGGCAAAAUCAAAGUUUGAGAGGGUGAUUCUUUAGUCAAGCUUACCUUUUCUAUCUUGGAAGCUCAACUAUGGAUGAUCCUAGACAUGUAAUGCAUUGUUAGGGUACUUGAGCCUGAAUGACUUUUCUCAUACUAUAACCCUAGCCUUACAUUACAAGUUUAUUAAAGUCCUACAUGAUCCUUGGUCAUGUGUUUAUUUACAUUAGUGGAGAAAGAUGUGAUGAGCAAAGUUAUAGAACAUGAGCAUACUUUAUUGAUCCUUGUUAUUAAAGUUUCUUGUUUUGCAUAACAUUACUAGAUUUCAUGCAAGGAUAUAUGAGAGGUGUUGUUUACUUGUGGAACCACAAUUAGGAAUGAUCUUAGCCUAGAUAGAUUCUUUUAUAUAAGCACUUGUUCAUCAUUUUACUUUGUUAUAUCUAUUGAUCAAUCCAUGAGGCAUUCAUGUUGAAUAAAGCAUUGAGAGUAUAAUAUGAUUCUUACUCAAUCUUGUUUUGCUUGAGGACAAGUAAAAGCUUAAGUUUGGGGGUUUGAUUGCACUUAAAUUUUAGCUUUUUCAUGCUUAAUUUUAGUGCAAUUUUACUUAUAUUUUGGCCUAUUCCUUAGGAUUUUUGGCAAAAUUACCCCUAAAUGCACUUUUUUUCAUGUGUAGGUGCAAAUAAUGGAAUUGAGGAACUUUAGACAUUUUUUAUACAAAUUUGGAGGAUUUUUGGUGUUAUUUGUGCAUAUGGCCUAAACUAGUGUCAAUAGGCCACAUUGACAUUGAAGGAGUUUUCUUGAUUUUUUUAGCAUAAUUUUUUAUUAUUAUUUUCAAUGUCAUUUUUUAGUAAAAUGUAGGAUAAAAUGUUCAUAAAAUGUUUCAAUUUUUUUGCAAAAAAAAUAAAAUAAAGAAAGAUGCAAGACACGUUGGUGCAUAGGUGCAUGGAUGAUCAAGCAAUUGCAAGGCUACAUAAGUUGGGUUGAGAGCAUUAAGCUAGGGGCUGAAUUGGCAUUUUGGGAGGCUAUGAUUGGCUAUAAUUUUGACUUUAUAAAUCAUCAAAUACACAUGAAAGAAGCUUGAAAUUCCACAAAGAAGAAUGAACAAGCCUUAGCGUGCACCAAACCAGUCAUGAACAAAUAGGAAGGGCAUAGGCUCUAAAAGCCAAGCCAAUGGGAGAUCUUUUCAGACCUUUUUAGACUAAGUCUCCCCCCUCUACCUAUAAAUAGGGGGAGAGUGCUGGCCAUAGGAAGAGAGUUAGUUUAGGAUUUAAAUUUUUGUUUCUUCACUUUCCUGCAUUUUCUUUUUUGCAUUUUACAUUUUCUUAUAGUCCAAGAACUUUAUUUCCAACACUUUGCCUUUGAAUUUCAUUGCAAUUUUACUAUUUCUUAAGUUUUUUUCAGUGCUCUUUCAGAAUCUUUCAAUAAUUUACAUUUAAAUUCAUUUUCCAACUCAAAUUUACUGAUUUUUCAUUAAUACUCAAAACUAUUUUUCAAUCUAUUUGCUCUAACCUAUUUGCGGUUUUUGGAUCAUAUCUCUAUCAAAUCUUGCUUGUUUUUGCUCAAGUAUUUUUUUCAUAGUUUCCUAAGUCAUAAAGCUACAACAUAGUAGACAUUAAGCGUCAAACUCACACGACAACAUUCCAGAUCAAGCUUGGAAGUUUUAGCUGGAUACAAGUGACAGUGCAAUUCUAGUUUUGAGGAACCAGUUUGGCAUGGACUUCUCUCCACUUUGGCAAAUUUUUUUGCAUUAUUUUCUUCCUUAUAUCUUUGUUUCUGCUGGUUUCCUUGUUAUGUCUAAUUUUGUGCAAUUUAUUUCAUGCUAUUUCUUGCUAUUUGGUUAAUUUUCUUUGAUGAGGUUCUAUUUUUCCAAAUUCUACUCUAUUUUUGCAUUUGAGUUCAUUGAGCUGAUUUUUCUAUUGAUUCAUAUUAUUUUCUUAUUAAUUUAGGUAGAUAACUCAUAGAUAUAAGUUUCUUUAGCUCAGUUUUAGUUCAUUCCCUCUAGAGAAUUGUAAAUCUAAUUUUUCUUCCAUGAAUUGUUAGUUUCUAGCUUACAAAAUUAGUUUUGGUUUCUACUUUCUUUUAUUGAAUCUUGCAAUUUGUUUUUUAGUUUUUGUUCUUCAAUUUGAAUUCUCAUAUUGUUCUUUUAGUGUUCUUUCAAUUUCUAGUUCAUAAUCAUUUGAUCUUACAUGAUUUAAAGUUAGAAAGCCAUCUUGAAGUCACCAUUCCAUAUUAGCUUGAAAUUUUUGGUUUUUGCUUAGUCAAUUGUAUUUUGUGUUUUUGAUUCAUAAUUUUCAAUUUAAUUUCAUUUUUACACUAGCUAAUCUAUUGUUUUUGUAAAUUUCUAGUUUGUUUGGAAAUUUUCUUAAGUAUUUUUUUUAGCUCCUUUCAUUAGAAGUUGAGUUGUUAGUGAUAGUUAGUUAUAGUUAGUUAAUUCGGUUAAUUUGUUUUAGUUAUUGUUAUUGUUUAAUUUUUUCUUGUUAUUUUUCAUUCUUAUUUUAGAGUUAUAUCUUGAUUUAUGUUUAAUUUAUUGCAUUUUAUUUUACCUACUAUUUUUGCAUUUUAUUUUACUUAGUUUAUAUGUUGCAAUUUUACACCAUACUAUACUCAUGUUACAUGCUUUGUUUGAUUUUAAUUUUUUUAGUUAGUUUAAUACCAUGUUUUUCUUUGUUUGAUUGAGCCAACUUUAGAAGGGUAUAGGGAUAAAAGGUACUUAGUUUAUGAACAAUUUUAGCUAAUCCUUAUGAGAUUGACAUCUUGACUGUUUGGUCAUUAUUAUUAUUUGUACUACCUAUACACUUGCAGAAUUGUCUGAAUUAGAGAUAAAUUAUGUUAAAAAAGAAAGCAAAAUUAAAAAAAAACCAAAACUUCCUCUUGUAAAUCUCUAUAAUGCAUUUUCUAAACAACCAACUUCUUUUGUUAAGUCCAUAAAAGCUCUUCUUACACACAAACUUAAAGCUUAAAAAAGUAUGUUAAAGCCUCAAAGUUUGGUUAGUGUAUACUUUAAAAAAUACCUAAAAGCACUUUAUGACUAUUUAAACUCCUCCAAAAUUUCUUAAUAAUGAAUAGUUCAAGGAUAUACUCAUUUCUACUUUGGUGCUAUCAGAAUUACAUUAAGUUUACGUAGACAUCAUGGUAUUCUUGUUUGUACUAGAAUAUCAUUGUUAAACAUAAGAUGUAAAGAAUGCAAACAUGUUCUUGAAAUUGUUGAGACAACUCUCAAUGUAAGGAUUAUUUUCUUUAUAGUUUUCCCAAAUUAUAGCAUGUCUUUUUGUGACCUUACACUUGUUGAUGUUUUAAAGGUCCAAGUCUAAAAUUGUUGGUGCAUAGAUGAAAGGAUAUAAAGCAACAGUUUAUUACUAAAUGGUUUAUAAAAUCCAAAACCAUGCUAUAAACUUACCAAUGCUCAGCUUUGGUCAAAUUGUUUCUACCAAGCUUAAAGCGUUAGAUAAGUCCUUAAAUGUAUCCACAUCCCAAAACAUAUCCUAGCAAAUGAACUUACUGCCCUGAUUCAUGAGUCAUGGCUAACAAGAUAUGAAAGACUAUGGGAAUAUAAUGAACCUAUCAAAAACUUUGACCCCACUUACACCAUAAACACAGAUGGAACCAUCACCAUCAAAUCAACCAUAAAAAAGACAUACCAACUCCACUACCAUUUUUCCCAUCCAUUUCAUGAUACAAUCAUGAAAUACAGGAGCCAAAUAUAGCAAUUGAGCAUUUCAAGGCUAAUUGACAACUUGUAUAUGCAUAUAGAUCUUUGAAAGGACAUUGCCACUGAGACAUCAAUGUACAUGCAAGGCAUGCCAAAAACAACUUUGCAAAGAAUUCUUUAGCAAUAAUGAUGUCCAACCAAAUAAGAAAAAAAGAAAUCUCUUCACCAAUAGUUUAAAGAAAUAUAUAAAAUAGAGAUCUUGAAAUUGAUCUCUUUGGUGAAUCCUUAGGUUAAUAUGAUUUCUAUGUCAUUUAUCCAAAUAAAAAAAAAACUAAAAGCAACCCAAAUAACCCAACUAGAUAAAAACCCUUCAAGCUUGAUCCAAAACUCAUAAACCCAAAGCCUUUACCUUGUUAUGCAAAAGAAAAAGUUGAAUACAAACCUUCAAAAACUCAAAAACCUAAAACCAAACCUUUAAAAUUUUGCAUACAUUGUAAAAUAAAGGGUCUUUUUGCAAGCAACAAGCUCAAAACAUUGUUCCUUAAACACCUCUUCAAGUUUGCUUGAUGCAAACCUUUGGAUCAUCAUAUUUUAUUGAAUUUCCUUUGCUGCAAGAAUUUUAGAAAGAUCAAAUCAUACACCUGCCAAAAAUCCCAAAUCCUAUGGGCUAAGAUGCAAAAAAAAAAAAAAAAGACUUUUUGACGAGAAGCAAUGUUAAGAUUUUUAAUUUUAUUAAGUUAGGUUUGGAUAACACAAAUUUAUUGGCUUGACUUUCGAUGUAUUCCAAUGGAAUAGCCAAUCUACUAUGUGUAUAGAUUCGUAGACCUAUCGCUAGCACAACUUAGAAGUCGCCACUAAUCUUUUUUUGUUUAAGUGUGAGUGGCCACCUAACAAAAUCUAUCUUUUUUUAAAUAAAAGAUCCGAAACUCGACUUAGAUAUCUUUGAAAGGUAAAUGCUAGUCUACAAAACUACGACUAGGUUUGAGAGUAUGGUUACGUGUGAGGAAUGUUAUAGUACCCUCACAACGCUCAUCCAAAGGAUAUACUAGUUGAUUUCGUGUUAUUCAAAGCUUUAAAAACAUAUUUGUAUUGUUACCAAUUAAAUUUAGCAUUGAAAAUAAACCUUAAAAUUACUCAAAUAGUUUGUUAGCAAUUUAAGAGAAUUUUCUCACCUUAGGAGUAUUCAUGGAGACUAGUGUCCAACUCUGAAAAGGCUUCGUUGUCAGAUUCAUUAAUAUAUUUUAUUUUAUGGGUUUAUUAUUUUAAAAAUGAUUAAUAAAAUCUUCCAAUAUUUGAUAAGAUUUUAUUUUGAUGCAUAUCCCUAAAUAGUUUGGUGGGAUUUUUAUUCAAAAAUUUAUUCAUGAAAUUUAGAAAGAUUCAUUAAAUUUUCCAAUAGUUAGGUAAGAUUUAACUCAAGAUUUAAAUCCUCCAAUAGUUUAGUAGGAUUGAAAAUUUUUAUUUUUCAUAAAAAUUUAUUAAGUCCCUCAAUAGUUUGGUGAAACUUAAUUUAGAAAUUUAAAUCCUCCAAUAGUUUGGUAAGAUUGAAAAAAAUUUAUUUUUCAUAAAAAUUCAUUAAGUCCCCUAAUAGUUUGGUAGCACCUAAUUUAGAAAUUUAAAUCCUCUAAUAGUUUGGUAUGCUUGAAAAAUUAUUUUUUUAUGAAAUUUUAUUAUGAAAUCCUCCAAUAGUUUGAUAAAAUUUAUAAUUUUGAAAUAAUUUUUAACCUAUGAAAUUCCACCAAUAGUUUGGUAGAACUUAUGAAUUUAUUUUUAAAAUUAUUUCUUUUUUUAAGUAAAGAAUCAAUUAAAAUAAAUAAAAUUUAAAUCAAAUAAAUUGAAUAAAUAAAAUAAAUAAAAAAUUUCACAAAAAUGGUGUCAGCUGGGCUCAACUUAGCUUGUGGCUCAGCUAUAGGAACAAUAUAAGGCUGGAGCACUUGGAUCUCAGCUCGACUUGGCUCAAAGUGCCUACUAGGAAACCCGUUGCAAGUUAGGUCACACAACAGGUCGGGUUAGGUAAACAACAAAAUAUGUAGAUCCUAAAAGAUUUAAAUGCUUAAAACAACACCAUUUCAAUUUGGUGUAAAAAUAAAACAAUUUUUUUCUCUAUAUAUUUUUUUUCUCUCUUAGUUCCCUUCUACUUUUCUCUCUAAAUAAGGAAAACUUAUGGCUGGAUUCUACAAAUUCCCAUCGAGAAAUUCUUUUGUCAUCAAAAUUUGAUCAAGAUCUAGGUUUCUUGCUAGAACAUCGACAAAAGCUAGAAAUUCUUGCUAGAAAUUAGAGAUCUCGCUAGAAUCUCAUAAGAAAACUUGAAUAUUGUCAAAAAAUUCAAUUGAAAAAUUUUAAUUUUUUUAAAAAAUUUCCAAAAAAAUUCAGAAAACUUCUUUUCUACAUAAUUCAAUCUUUUAACGUGAUUCUUUCUUUUACUUCACUAUAAUUUUAAACAACAAUUUUCAAAAACACUUCUCUAACUAAAAAUCUCCACUAUAUUUUAACUCUUUGACUUUUUCAUAUUUUUUCAUUCUAAUUUUUGUCCUUUUCUGUGAUGAUUGUAAGUUUAUUUAUAGGAUGAAUUGGUAGAGCUCUUGAUCACCUAGGAUUGAGUUUUCAAAAUUUUUAUAUUAUCAUAAAAGAAAAUUAUCAUUUAUCUUUGAGAAUUUAAACCUAAACCAAUCUCAUCACUGACCAUUUAUCCCCUUUUAUUUUUAGCCAUUCAACUAUUUUUUUCCAAUUAUCUUUUAUUUUUCCUUCUUUUCUAAAAUAAUCAAAUAAUUUAAAAAUAAGAUAAAUAUAAAGAAAUUGAAUAAAUAAAUAUAGCUAAAGAUAAACAACAAAUAAACAAGAUAAACAAUAAAUAAUAAAAUAAAAUAAAAUAAGUAAGCGAAGAUAAAUAGGAUAAAUAUAUAUAGAAAAAUAUGAAGUAAAAAACAUAAUUUGACAAUUGGACUUGGAUCAAGUCUGAACCUAACCAAUUUGAAUCUUGGACUAAAUAAGGUGUUGACAUAUAUUUUUUGCUACCCAAAGCCCUCUUACUCGUCCAAUUAAGCACCUAGCUGGCUGAUUUGGUUGUUAUAUCCAUAUAAAGUUGCCAUGUCAUUUGUCACACUAUAAAUAAAUUUAUAGUGGUUAAUGCAUCUAUCUUUUACAACUAGUCAAUGAUGCAUCUCUUGACAAGUUAUUCUCAUUUGCCAUAUGUCUUUCUUUGAUUGGCUUGUAUAUUUUGAAUGUAAACAAUGCCCCCAAAUACUUUCAUUUUUGCGACGCAUAAAAGAUGGUAUUUUAAAUUUCAAUGCCAUUUUCAUUUUUUACUAUAAUUACCUUUUGAGUGGCCAAUGUAAGCAUAAAAUUUUACACCUUCAUAACAUAUUCUUUCAAAAGUUUUUAGGCACUUAAAAUCAUUUUUAGACCUUGGUAAUUUUUGGCAAAAAUCAAAAUUGAUGUAUUGCUAAUGUGUUAAGGUUUAUUUUGAAAUCAUGUAGCGAACUUUUACCUUAAUAUUUAUGUUGUCUUAUUUUACAUUUCAUAACUUUUUAGAUGCUUUAAAUUAUUAGACAAACUUUAUGUUUUUGGAAAAAGCAUUCCAUUCCUUUUCUUUUGAUGUAUUAUAUGCUCAAAUAUGAUUAAAAUUAAAUUAAGAUAGACUAAAAUACAAAACAUAUCCUAAAAUUUCAUGUACUUUUAGUAUUUUUAUCAUAUCUUGUAAAAUACUUUGAAUUUUUUAGUGAAACUAAUUUCACUAGAAUCUAGAAUUUUUAAGCUUUCCAACAAUAUAAAGAUCACUCAAUUCAGAUAUUGGAUGAGAAAGUUAUAGCCAUUUGAAUUUAGGCAUGUGACACUGAAAAUGAAGUGCCAAUUGGCAAUUACAAAUGCUAAUUGAUGCACCUUAAUUUUAUUCAAAUUUCAUGAUUAAUAUUUUAUUUUCAGAAUUUAUGCUUACAAAAUGAAAUUAGCAUAUGAUAAUUAACUUUUUGGGGGAUAAAAAUCUAAAAUAAAUCCCAUAAGGAGAUAAUCUAGCUAUAAAUAUGAUUUUCCUAAAAAUAUCUCUUAAAAAUUAAUCCCUAGAAUUAUCCUCUCAUCUUAUAGAGUCUAACUUUGAUCUGCAACACUUAGCCCUUACUAUAAAUAGCCCCCCUAGUUUUUCAUUCAACACACUUCAAGUAUUUCUCUUAUCUUUUCCUAAUAAACUUAGUUUUAAGCCUUCCUUAAGUUUUGCAAAAUUAAUAAGGAAUCCUUUUAAUUUCCAUCGUUUCUAGCCUUUAUUAUGUGCUUUUCAACCAUCCACAAUCACCAAAAUAGCCUUAAGCCUUAGCCUAAACCUAUUUUUUGUCUUGAAUCUUUGCUUGAUGAUAUGUUAAAACCUUAAAAAACCUAAAAUAAAACUUCAACCGAUUAGCACACUCCUUAGUCAAUCAGCACCAACCUUUUGAGAUGCCAUCUUACCUUUAUUUCAUUAGUUCCUUCUAUACCAACAUAGGCCUUAUCCCCACCACUUCAAGACAUCAUCCACUACUUAGACACCCAACCAAAACUUGCUUUAAAGCUCUAGUCUAAUCAAAACUUUCAGUCCAACCAAAAUUUUUCUUUAAAAGUCCUAAUUCCACCAAAGCUCUUCUUAAGAGUCCUAAUUCUUUCAAAACUUAAUCUGAAGAGUUUGCAUCCGACUAAAAUUCUUUCAAAGAGUUUUGAUCGACUAAAGCUUUACCCAAUGAUCUAGAGAGCCAUAGUCAAGGAGAAACUCUACUAAACCUUGCUCACUGUCCCAAACCUACAGUUAUCAUAUUGGAUCUUGUAUUAAAUUGAUCUACUCAAAUAUAAUUCCUACAAACCUUUAGAUAUUUUAAUUCUCUCAUUAAAUUAUGAUCAUGUUGACAUAUCACCCAUGAUCAUGCCUUAUGUAGUCUUAGCAAUACAUGAUGGUAUGCCAUACAAUUGAAAAUAAAGUUUAUUUUACUAUUAAAGAUUGUGAAUAUUUUUCAUGUAAAUCCACAUUCAGUACAUCAUGCAUUAAUCUAUCAUUUAUAUUAAGUAAAAAUAUUAUGGUAUAUUAAAUUAAUAUCCUUUUAAGGAAUAUUUUAUAUAAACUGUCAUUAUGAUAUGCCAUUUAGAUUAAGUUGCACUUCGUAAUUCUCUAGUUACACUUUCACCCCAUCCUUUCGCACCCUAGCAUUGGUAGGGACCCUAAAAGUUGCCUUUGCUUUUGGUGUUCUCUCAUAGAUUUAAAUAUUUCACCCUUACACACAAAAUUCCCUUCUCCUUUGUCUCACUCAAAUGAAUUGGUUUCUAGAGCAUUUCGCCCAUUUUUGGAGACUUAUAGAGUUAGAAAAGUUAGCUUUGGCAUAAGAUCUGGAUUGGUAUUUUCAAAAUGAAUUGUUAUUUUUAAAUAUAUAUUUUUUGAUAACACGGUAUUUGCAUAAUUUAACAAUUGAUAAAUCACUCAAUUGUUUUUUUUUUAGAUGUAUACAUGAUAGCACAUGACAUAUAAAAUUAUACAUAUCUCAUUGCUUGCUACUAGGUACAAAAUGAAGAGACAUAUUCUUUAAUUUGUAAGCUUAUCAGGGUGUUAGUAUUGGAUAAAUAAAGUAUGGGUUUAUCCUAGAUAGCUUUUGGAGUUUUAACUCCUAUAAUGUCAUGUUUACAAUAUCUGAAUCAAGUUAUUUGGUAAAGAUGAGACUAUGACUUUGAAACUGGUAUCGAUUUUUAGGAUAUAAAUAAAUUGAUUGUUGACUUCUAAUCAGACCUAGGAUUUCAACAUUGAAAUGAGCACUGGGGAUGAAACUAGCACAACUCCAAUUAAUGACUAUUAAAGUCCAAAUAAAACUCCAAUUAAGCCAUUAGAAUCUAACUUUUUUUUUUUUCACAAUCUUUAUUUCCUUCUUUCUCUUUCCUUCGUGAUUCUACUUCUUAUCUUCAAUUUUCCUUAAAACAUAAAUUCUUCCCAAUUCUUUCAUAAGAUCAUGGCUAACAUGCUUUCUACCAUAGAUGAACUAAUAUAACUCUCAUCAAUCACAAUUAAUUAAAAGAGCACUAUCUACGAUUAAGGCUUCUACCAUUAAUACUUUCCCUUUUAAGAGGCAAAAAAGUGAUGGUAUUUUAAAUUUCAAUGCCAUUGUCAUUUUUUACCACACUACUACUUGAUUGGCUAAUUAAUGCAAUUAGAGUGCAAAUAAAACUCUAAUUAAGCCAUUAGAAUUCAACUUUUUAUUCAUAAUCCUUAAUUUUCCUUUCAAUUUCUCUUUCUUUCUUGAUUAUACUUUUUCUCUUCAGUCUUACUUUAGAACUCAAAUUCCUCCCAACCUUUUCUUAAGAACAUGGCUAUUGUGCUUUCCACCAAAGAUGAACUAAUGCAUUGAUCAUGAUUAAUUGCUACAAAAAAUCACUAUCCAUGAUUGAUGCUUUUAUAAAAAAGAAAAAACAACUUUAAAGAUGAGAAAAUAAUUUGCUUUUUUUAAAAUUCCAUUCAUCAUCUUCUUUAUUCAACUUUAAUUUCUACAAAACAUGAUCCCUUCUACAAUCGAUGUAGAUGACUAGGAGAUGGAUGUUUUCGCCAACAUUGCCCAGUUGUUGUAUCAACCCAUAAUCGAACCACAGAUGAAGAAACAAAUCAUCCAAUAGUGAACUUUAGCAUUGUUCUAUAAUGAAAUUAUAGGAUAUUAGAAAGGUGACAUAAUGUUAGGCAUAAAGGAGUCUAAGUUGAUUAAAGAUGUGGGAUAGCAAAAGGAAGCUAAGCUGGCUAAAGCUUUUGGAAGUUCUAAAAGGACCAUGUAGGUGGCACUCACUACAAAAAAUAAUUAAGGAAGUGGUAUAACGGUUACUAAGUUAGCAUGAUUAACCAAUUAGUUAUAUGGAUGGCUACUAAUAAUUAUUGGUUGUACAACUAUCCUAGUUUUAAUCAUUUUAGCCCCUUAUUGUUAGCAUCGUGAUGUAAGCAAUGAGAGAAUAUAAACCAUUGUAUACACAUAUUAAAGUAUGAAUGAAAAUUUGUGAAUUCUUCUCUCAACUUUUAGUCUAUUAUUUCUUCUUUUUUGAUAUUCUAUUUCUUCUUUUUGUUACAUCAUAAAUUGGUAUAAGAGCUUUUUUAGAUCCAUUAAUGCUACAAAAGAGUAAAAAAAAACAAAGCUCCAUGGUAAAAGGUACCAAAUUCAAUGUACUUCAAGAGCAGAUGCAAUCAUUUCAGGGGCAGAUGUAAUAUUUUCAAGGGUAGUUGGAUUCCAUUUGACCUUUAAAAUCACUUGUUCCUAAAUGAUGGGAGGAGCAAUAGAAAAACCUUAAACCUAAUCUUAAAGCUAAGCUUAAGGCUAAGUUUGCUGUAAAUCAAGAAUACACCAUUCAAGUGUUUAAUCUACUAAUGCCAAAAGAAGCUACUCAAGUUCAAUUGGAACCAAGAGAAGUUUCUAAUGCUGCCAACAACUAAGUAAACAUAGCUUUUCAAUCUAAAAAGUUAGGUAAAGCCCUUAUCAAAGUAAUAAUAGUGGAUGAUCAAGGGAAAUGCACUUUUAAUUUUAAUGCACUUGGGCUAUUAACUAAUAAUCAGCUUGAAACUAGUGGCUAUUUUUCACCAAACUAUGUUGGAAAUACUUCCUGUACUAUGGCAAAUGCUUUCUCUCCCAAACCAAAAAUAGAACUAUCCAAUUUUUAUGGGAUAUCCUAAAGGUUAACUUAAAAAAUGUCAAAAAUAUUUUGCCACUUUUCUAUCUUUAAUCAUAAUAAAUUAGAAAUAGCUACUAUGUAUCUAACUUGAAAAGCUGAAGUAUGGUUUGAUAGGUAUGUCAUGUAACAAGGCAAAGUAACUUGGCAAGAGUUUUCCACUAAUUUAUGCCAUAGGUUUUGUGAUCGAACCUAUUUAGAUAUAGUGGAGGAAUUAAAAAGCUAAAAUGUGGUUUGAUAGGUAUGUCAUGCAAUGAGGCAGAGUAACUUGGCAAGAGUUUUCCACUGAUUUAUGCCAUAGGUUUUAUGAUCAAACCUAUUUAGAUAUAGUGGAGGAAUUUAACAAACUAAAUCAAAAGGCAUAUGUAAAGGACUAUAAAAAAAAAGUUUAAGGAGCUUAAACCAUACAUGUUAUAGUAUAAUCCUUAUUUGACUAAAGAUUCUUUUGUUUUCAGUUUCAUCAAUGGUCUCAGAGGAGAACUGAAGCUCAGGGUUAAAGCAAAUGAACUAAGCUCCCUUUCUACUACCUACAAACAAGCCAAAUUAUAGGAUUUAUCCUUUGAAUUUGAGAAUAAAAGACACAAACUGAUUCCUAAGCUUAUAUUCACCUUAAACAUUGGCCCUUAUCCAAAACCUAUCCAUUCUUUAACCAACCAUCAGCUUAUGGAGCAAAUGAAGGCUCAAAAUUUAUGCUUUAUAUAUGGAGACAAGUUUGUUCCAAGUCAUGUUUGUAAAGCUAAACAACUUAAUGUCCUUACAAUUGAUGAAUUAGAUAAAAAUGAGGAAUAAGAAGUUGUAGAUGAAGAAAGUGAUUAGUUGAUAGCUAAAUGGAAAAAUGAUCUUGACAAUAUACAAAUAUCUAUCAAUGUUUUUAUUAGUAACCUCAGUCUUAGCACCCUAAAAAUUGAAGGGAAUAUCAGAGGUAAAUCUCUUAAUAUCCUUAUAAAUAGUGGUGGCACUCACAAUUUUGUGACUCUAAGAUAAGCAAAAGAUGAUGUAAAAGUCAAGCAAACCCAUCCUUUAGCUAUUGCAAUAGCUAAUGGAGAUAAACUCUUAAGUAAUGUAAGGUGCAAAAAGUUACAUUGGGUGAUGAAAGGGCAUGCAUUCUUACAUGAUUUGAGAGUUUUGCCAAUGAGAGGUAGUGACAUGGUUUUUGGUGUUCAUUGGAUAAAGAAAUACAACCUUCUGAUAUUUAACAUCAAUAACUUAUCUACUACAUUUCAAAGGGAAGGACAGCCAAUUACCUUUAAGGGUAAUUAGAAGCAAAUUGACCUUAAACUAAUUUCAAGUAAAAGGUUACAAAAACUAGUUAGCAAGGAGCCUAAGCUACCUGGGGAACUUUACAUGAUCAAUAUGGAUAGUGAAAGAGAAGGAACACCACUAGAGUUAUAAGAUUUACUCUUAACCAAUUUGGACAUAUUCAAAGAACCAACCAAAUUGCCACCUAAGAGGUCUUACAAUCAUAACAUACCUCUUAAAGUGGGGACCCAACCUAUCAAUCUCAAGCCUUAUAAGUUUCCCUAUCAUCAAAAGGUUGAAAUAGAGAAAUAAAUUUUAAAAAUGCUAGCUUCUUCUAUCAUUCAAACUAGUAAGAGUUUCUUUGGCUCUCCCAGCCUACUGGUUAAAAAGAAAAUUGGCUUUUAGAGACUUUGUAUUGAUUAUAGAUAACUCAAUGCAAUGACAAUUAAAGAAAAAUUUCAAUUCUAGUGGUAGAAUACUUGUUAGAUGAACUUAAAGAUGCCAACUAUUUCUCAAAAUUGACUUAAGUUCUAGCUAUUGGCAAAGUUGAGUCAAUAACAAGGACAUUCCAAAAAUAAUCUUCAAAACACAUCAUGGGCACUAUGAGCUCAAGGUAAUGCUCUUUGGGCUUACAAACGCACCAGCUACUUUUCAGCCAAUGAGGAAUGAUGUCUUUUCCCUUUACUUAAGAAAAUUUGUGUUAGUAUUUUUUUGAUGAUAUACUUGUAUAUAAUGUUACAUUAGCAAACCAUGUUUCACAUUUGAGGCUUGUUUUUCAAAUAUUGAGAUCUGCCCAGCUAUUUGCCAAGAAAAAAUAAGUUUUUUUUUUUUUUUGCCAAAGAUAGGUGGAGUACCUUAGUCAUAUUUGAUUUGUAGAGGGAGUGGCUAUUGAUCUAGCCAAGGUGGAAGCUAUGAUGAAUUGCCACUACCUAAAAGUAUAAAGUUCUUGAGAGGAUUCUUGAGCUUAAAUGGUUACUAUAUGAAGGUCAUCAAAGGGUAUAGAGUGAUAAGCCAACCACUAACAGCCAUGUUAAAGAAAGAUGGUUUUGCUUAGACUUUUGAUGCAUUGAUAGCUUUUCAACAUUUAAAGGAAGCGAUAAAUAAAGCAUCAAUACUAGCAUUACCUAAUUUCUCAAAGCCCUUUUGCUUGGAAAGAAAUGCUUGUAAGGAUGUCAAUUUUACCCAUACCUAAUGGAAACCUAAUUUUUUACCCGAAUGGGAAUAGGGAUGGAGAUGAGUAUGAUUUUAAAUUUUUUACUGAGUACAAAGAUAGGGAUGGGUAAUAUAGCACCCUCCUUGUACUCGUACUUGUGCCCAUACUCUGCAUAUAUAUUUAUACAUAUAUUUAGUAAAUAAAUUUUUUAUUAAAUAAUAUAAAUUAUUAUUUUAAAUUAAUUAGAACUAAUAUAUUUUUAUUUAAUAUAUAUAUAUGAAUAUAUUUAUAAAAAUUACAUAAUAUGCAAGAUAAAAAGUUUUAAAAAAAGUUAAAAGAAUACAUUUUGGUUUUUAUUUUUUAAAAAACCUAUAGAUACAAAGAUUAUCCAUACAUAUUAAAUUCCUACAGGGAUGAGGAUGUGGAUAAAUUUAAAAUACACAUUAGGCAUGGAUAUAUGGAUGGAUAGGAUAUAACAAUUUGGGGAUAAGGAUGGGGAAUACUUUACCCACCCCAUAUCCUGCCUAUCGACAUCCCUAGAUGCUUAUGCUACAAGAGCUAGUACAGUCUUAUCAUAAAAAGAAAGAGAAAUGGCUUACUUGAGUAAGGUUUUGGGACCAAACCAUGUAGACUUGUCUACCUAUGAGGAAGAGUACUUUUAACCAUUCUAAUAGCUAUAGCAUAGUGUAGACACUAUUUUGAAAGGGGUCCUUUAUCAUCAAAACUAACCAUGAAGCUUUAAAACAUUUGUUGGAACUGAAGCUAUCAACAACCAUCCAAAAAAAAGAUUGACAAAACUAUUGAGGCUAAACUAUUUAAUCUAGUAUAGAAGGGGCAAGCUAAAUGUAGUCUCAGAUGCAUUAUCUAGACAACAUAAAGAGGAAGAGAAGUUACAAAGUUUAGAUGCUACUAUUAUUAUGUCGAGAUAGGUCAUUGAAAUUGAAUAGAGUUAUAAAGGGGAUGAAAUGGUUCAAGAGAAUAUCAUAACUCCCAUAAUCAACCCUAUUAGGGACUCUCAGUGCUUAUUCACUAAUGGGAUACUCAGGCUUAGGAGAAGAAUUUACUUGGAAAGUCAAGGACAAUUGGGGACUUAGAUUUUACAACUACUUAAUGACUCUCCUCAAGGUGGCCAUUCAGGGAUACAAGCCACUCAUCACAUGCUCAAACUUAUCACAUGCCCAAACUUUAUUUCUACUAGCCUAAUAUGAUGAAACAGGGGCAAGAAUACAUCUAGCAAUGUGAGGUUUAUCAAAGGAAUGAGGAUAAGCAUAUUGUUUAUCCAAAAGUCCUAUAAUUGAUUCUAGUUCUAAAACAAGCAUGGGAGUUAAUCACUAUGGAUUUUGUGGAAAGACCACCUAAAUCUUAGAAGUUUAACUAUGUUAUGGUAGUCACUGAUAAGUAUACUAAAUAUGCCUAUUUUUUAGCCUUAUCUCAUCCUUAUACUGUCCUUAACUAGCCAGAUUAUAUUUGGAUCAAGUUUAUAAGCUUCAUGGAGCCCCAAAAGCUGUAAUUUCAAAUUGAGAUAAACUUUUCACUAGUGCUAUUUGGCAAAAGCUCAUAAAGUUAUCAUCUUGAGUCUAAUAAAUAGUCUGAAUGACUUAAUCAAUGCUUAGAGUAGUAUCUACGAUGCAUGUGUUCAUACAAGCCAAGAACUUAGGCUUUAGUGGUUACCUUUAGUUAAAUGGUGGUAUAACACAAGUUACCACUAAGUUUUUAAAAUGACCCCUUUUUAGGCUUUAUAUGGGUAUCAACCACUUGGAUUUUUUUAGGAUGCUAGUAGUAAAGCUAGAGUCUCCAUUAUUGAGGUACUAUUAAGAGAUAAAGAAAGGUUGAGAAAAUUGCCAGUGGAUCAAUUAGAAAAAAGCUCAAAGUAGAAUGAAGUACUAUGUUGACAGUAAUAAGACUAAAAGAGAGUUUUAGGUUUUGAUGCAUUAUAUUUGAAGCUCCAACCUUAGAAACAACCUUUCGUAGCACUCAAAAAAAACUUAAAAUCUCUGUAAGGUUUUAUGGACCCUAUCUUAUAAUGGCAAAGGUUGGUAAACUAGCUUAUAAGCUUCAGCUACCUGAGUCUUCAAAGCUACAUCUAGUCUUCCAUGUUAGUCUUCUAAAGAAGAAAGCUGAAGCUAUGGUUAUUCCUAACAUACCCCUAUUUGAGGUAGGAGAGGAUGGACAACCCCUGGUUUACCUUGUAGCAAUACUGGAUAAAUGGAUGGUUAAAAGAAACAACAAGGUAAUCAAUCAAUAAUUGAUAGGAUCAUCAAAUUUGGGUCCAGAGAAUGCUACAUGGGAAUAUUUUUCAGUUUUCAAAUCAUAGCUUCAAUAUUUUAAUCCUUGCGACAAUAAUUGUUUCAAGGAGAAGGUAAUGUGACAAAAUUGCAAUCAUAUCCUAAAGGUGACAUGACGUUGGGUAUGAAAGAAGCUAAGCUAGCUAUUGAAAGAUGUGGGAAAGUAGAAGGAAGCUGAGUUGGAUAAAGCAUCUAAAAGUUCUGUAAGAAUUAUACAAGUGGCACUCGUUAUAUAGAAUAAUGUAAGAAGUAGUGUAACGGUUACUAAACUGGUAGGAUUAACCAAUUAGUUAUAAGGAUGGUGUUUGAUGAUUGUUGGUUGUACAGCUGUCCUAGUUUUUAAUUGUUUUAGCCCCUUAUUGUUAAGAUCAUGAUGUAAGCAAUAAGAGAAUAUAAACUAACAAAUGCAUAAAUUAAAAGUAUGAAUGAAAUUUGUGAAUUCAACUUUCAACUUCUAGUCUUUUAUUUCUUCUAUUCUAGUAUAGUAUUUCUUCUUUUUGUUACAUCACUUGUACCAUUUAAAUGUUGACCUCACCAAAGCCAUGGAUAUCUUGAACAAAUUCAUAAACAAAACCCUUAAUAAAGCAAGCAGUGUCUCUAAUCGAUCACCAUUCUUGUAGCUUCCAACUCUCCCAGAAAAGAUACAAGUCUAUCUAUUGAGUAAAGGCAGUAUAAAAAACUAAAAUAUCCUACAAAUAGGUCUAGAGCACUUGAGGUGGAGAAUAGUGAGCCAGCCCUAACUCAGGUACACAAAUUUGAUUAAUCUUUUUUUUUCCCUUUUAAUUUAUUUUCAAUACCUUUCCAAAACAAUGUGUUCUUCUAUAAUUAAAAACUAAAAUUUAAAAACACCCUUUCAUUUUCUUCUAUCUUUUUCUAUCUCUACUUUCUUUUUUUUUACACUCCCUCUUUCCUUUAUCGACAAACCUAAACCUAAAUUCUAAUAAUAAAAAUAUAUAUAGAAUCAAUUGUUUAUCAUCAUUCACUACCAUUUGUUGGCAACCAAACAUUACAAAACAUUUCUUUUUAAAUCUUCUCCACUUCCCUACAUUUCAAUUGCAUUAGAUUUUUCAAAAACUCCUUACCAAAAAAUAUACUCAAUACCCCUCACUGCCAAUUUUGCCUUUUUCAUUAAUUAAACAAACCGAAACCACCCUGAAACCUCAAAAAGCUUUUUUUUUUUGUAGAUAUUGCCUUUUUCUCACUUUUUUUUUGGUGAAUAAUGUGUUUUCUUGAAUCAAUGUAUGUUUAAUGGCUAUCCUUUGCUAAUCAAUUUGCAAAAAAAAAAAAUUUAGGGCUUCAUAAUGGAAAAGAUCGAAGCUAUUGACAUAUUCGAUUCUAAUUUUUCUUCUCUUUUAUUUUCAUUUUAUUUCCUUUGUUUUUCCAAUCUUUUCCCCCAUUUUUGUUGUUUUUUCUAUAAUUCCUAUUUUGAUUUCAUUCUUGUUUCCAUUUCUCAGUUCUGAUUUCUUCCCCUUUCAUUUUCUUUGUUUUUUUUUUUAGAUGUUUUCAUAAUUUUUUCAAAUAUUUUCUAAUUUCCAGAUUUUUUUUCAUUUUUUGAUAUUUUAAUUUUAUAUUUUAAAUUUAAAAUAGACUAGAUAAAUAAAAUGAAAAGAAGAGAUUAUUUAAUUUUUUACCAACCAACAUACAUUCAAGUUCUAAAGCCUAAUUAGCAAAUUAAACUUCAAACCAUUAAAUAAACCAUAAAAUAAAUUAUCUAACGUAAUAAAAACAUUCAUUAUAAACACAACUUUCAAAUAUAGUUUUGAUUCGAAUCAAAGCAAACUUGAAUUAAAUCCAAAAAGCCUAAAAAAUUGGACUAAUAUUUCAAUUUAAUUUAAUUUGAAUUGUUAAAAAAACUAUAUCGACGAGCGUAGACAAUAUGAGAUGUUCAUUAAGUGGCUUGAAUUUUUUUUAACAUCUUUUGAUUUUCAAAUAAAAUAAAUUCAAGCAUUAAAAUUAUUUAGAUAAUAAUAUUUUAAUCUCACUAGUAAAAUCCUAACAAUGAUUUAUAUAAGAAAAUAAUUAAAUCUGUAUUUUAUUUAUCAUAUAAAUUUAUUAACUUUCUAAAAUAUAAUCUAGUAAAUAACAAGUUUUUCUAAUUUUAUUUGUUAUAUUUUAAAGGAUAAAUGCGUAAUUAAGGAUGUAAUGUUUAAAUAUUUUCUCAAUUAAAGAUAUCAUCUUUAUUUUGGUUAAGUAUGCGAGUAAACAUUUUUGAAUUAGUUCAAAUAAUGUAAACCAUGUAUGUUGAAAUUGAGUGAAACAAAUUAUAUGUUCUUACUUGGUAAGAAAAUAAAGGUAAAAUUGCUUUUUUCCUUUUAACUUUUUUGCUAGGAUUGAAUAAAUUUAAAAAGUCAUAAUUGAAAUAGUAAAUUAAGUUAAAGAGGUACUAUAGUACUAGAUCUUUUAAAUAAAUUCAAAACCAAGUUUUACCUUUUAAAAUAACUACAACCACCGCACCAAAAAACAGCAACCUAAAUUGCUCAAGCCAACUUUUCUUAAAAGUUUAAACCUUAAAAAAAUUACUUUAAAUCUAUGUUAAUUUAGCAGUAUAAGGAUUCUCAACAAAAUCAAAGUAUUCAAAAUAAAAAAAAAAUCAAGAGAGAAAAAAAAAAGGCAUGGAGGAAGGCUCAGGUAUGGAAUAAUAUUAGGUAAGAGAAGUUUUUUUGUCCGUUAGUGAAUGAUGAAAAGAUAAAGGAAAGGGAGAAAAAGAAAAACAACAUUGUCAGAGAUGCUUUGCUAGUGGCAGCUCAUUAUGGCAAAAAAAAAAAGUUUAGGGUAAUUUGAAAUGGUCAAAGUAGAGGAAAAGUGGAAAAGAAAAACAUAAUGAAAAACAAGAAAUUUGAAGCAAUGAAGGUGAGAUUUUUUGGGAUUGAAAUCAUGAAUCUUUUUCAUAGAUUUAGGCAUUUUCAAUUUUUUUUGUUGAAAAUUUAUUUAAUUAAUGUGAAAGAGGGUCAAGAUGGAUCAAUGGAUAAAUUUUAAGCUUAUUCCAACAUUGAUGGUUGAUGAUGUAACCUGAUAGAAACAAUGAUGUCUAAUAAUACCUAAAUUUAUAGUAUUUUACAAGUUAAAAUGGGUCUAAAAUUUUAAAUUUUAGUUGAAUUUGGUGCUGUUAAUGUUAUUUUCUUGAUUUUUAAGGUUUAAGACUAUGGAACAUGAUUCAUAUGCAAUCUAUGCAUGCAAGCAUACAAGCAUACAAGCAUACAAGCAUACAAGAUAGUAGUCGGCCAUGCAAUAAGGAUGACUAGCUGAAAUCACCCUAUUCAAUACAUAUAACCCAGGCUGGCAAAAUCACCCUUUCUUGUAAUCAACCUAACCACCAACCCACCAACCAAAACAAGUUUCGGCUUAAUCCACAAACCUAUAACCUACCCUAAGAAAAGAGACCAAGUUUUCAGGAAAUGUUAAUCCAACUGAUGCAAGCCAACAAUGCAACCAUCCAAAGCAAAGCUAUAUCAAUAAAGAAGCUUGUAAACUAAAUUGGUCAACUUGCACAAGUCAUAGCCAAUCAACCUAUAGAAACUUUGCCCAACAAUACUAAGUCAAACCCUAUGAGACAAGGUAAGAAAGCAUGCGAUGCUAUAUGCUCAUUUAGGGAAGAUGGAAUGGAUGAGGAUAAUGCAAAAAUUAUGGAUGACCCAGUGGUGGCAAAUCUCCAUAGUUUUGUUAAGCAACUUGAAGUGGACUUUGUAGGGAUAGAUGAUCCAAUAGAGGAUGAUGAGCUGUUAAGGUAUGGAAGAGAAAUUUUGAAAAGUUUUGGUCAUAUGGCACUUGAAGCACCUAAAAGUAUUGAACCCUAUAAAAAGAUAGAAAAAAAGUUUGAAAUGGAAGAAGAUCCUGAAGAAUAUGAGGAGGAUCCUAAAGAAUUCAUUGAAGGAUUAGUUGAAGAAUGAGAGAUGUUUAUGCAAGUAGGAAGAGCACUUUUGGAAAGCAUUCAACUUGAGAAGGAGUAAGAAGAAAUUCAUAAAACCAAAAAGCUAAGAUCGACGCCAAGAACUAUCACUCAAAAACAAGAAUUUGAAAUAGCACUACCAACAAAGACUAUCCUAAAAAUGCUACUCAAAGAGUUGGAGAAUGCCUCUUUUGUUAAAGAUUGCAGUCCUGAACUUUAACAACUCUUUCCAAAAAAGCAAAAAGAUCCAAGGAGUUUCACUAUCUCUUGUAGAAUUAGUCAUCUAAAAUUUGAUGAAACUCUUUGGGAUUUAAGGUCUAGUAUCAAUCUAAUGCCUUUAAAUAUUUUUAUGUAGCUAAGAUGUGAAAAGCAGAACUUUCAACAUGUACCUUCAAAUUUACUAAUAAAUUCGCCAAGAAACCAUAAGGAAUGCUAGAGAAUGUUUUGGUGAAAGUUAGUAAGUAUGCUUUUCCUGUGGAUUUCAUAAUUCUAUAUAUGGAAGAUAAUGAAGCUCUUUUGCUAUUAAGCAGAUCCUUUUGAUUAACCUUCAAAGCUUUAGUUGAUAAGUAUGACUAUGACCUUACCCUAAGAUUUAAGGAUAAAAAGAUAUAGUUUGUAACUAGUUGGUAUGGCAUUCUCAGAGAUGAAGAUGAUGCAAACUUAAUAACCAAAGUAAAAGUAAAAAAAACACCCUUAGAGAGUUGGAUUUGACUUAUAAACCUCAUUACCCAUUAUCAUCAGUCCACCUGGCAAGAUCUUUAAACGCCAGCCAUGGUAAGCCUAAAACCAAAACUCUUAUAGUGAAUGCCAGUCCAAUUUAUAUUAUCCCUACAAAGAGAGUUACUACACCUUCUUAAUCUAGUUCCACUUAUGUCAUACCACAAGGGAACAUGUAGUAAGGAAAACUCCCUCUUGAAAAGAAGAGAUGACUUUUAGAUUUAGGGAUGGUCAAGCUUGACCAAAACUAGCGUUACUUUGGAGGCAACCCAAGUUUCACUUUAAUGGUUUAUGCAUUUAUUUUUUUUUUGUUUUAUUCUUAGGAUUGGUAUGCUUUGAUAUGUUUUUGUAUUUUAAUGCUUUUGUAAGGUGAUGCAAGGAGAUGAUCCAUGAAGAACACAAAGAUGAUUCAGCCUUAAAGCAAAAUUUUAGGGGAGUAUUUCUUUUUCCUAAAGGCUUAAUAGAUUUGAUUUAAAAUAGUGCUUAAUGUAAGUGUAAAGGAAAAUAAUGCUUUUUAAACUUAGAUGAUUUUUGAAAUCUUUACCCUUAUUGCUUCAUUUUCAAACCCAAUUGGCAUGCUAACUUCUUUGUUAUACAAGCUUAGUUAAUUUAGCAUGAACUUUUCAACAUUGACUUAAGUAUGAUAUGAGGAUAAUUGUGAAUGUGGUUAAGCAAUGAAAUGAAUUCAUAAGUUUGCUUUUCUUUGGAUACGGUUUUUAUGCAUAUGUCUUUAUUCUCUUUCUAUGAAAUGCAAUAAUUCUUGUAAAAAGUUUUAUGAUGUUAAGUUGCAAAAAAAUGUGAAGAUAAGACUAUUACUUUAGAAUUCACCUACUCAACCCUUGAGGCAAAAUUCUAGACUAUAUUUGACUUAAGAAAUGAUCUAGUUAUUUCUUUAGAUCGUUUGAUCCUUUUUCAAGCCCACUAUUAUUGAUGCAUCCCUAGGAACUUUUAUUUUGAGCUUUAUAAAUUAUCAUUCCUUUGUUUAUUUCAGCUAUAAUAAUAAACCCAAGCCUUUUAUUUGAUUAUUAUCACUUUUUUCUAUUUUUACCUACCCAAUAUUCUUACAUGUUUUUGGACAUUGUUUAUUUAGAAGGAAGGCACAAGGAAUGAAAACCAAAAUUGGCAAAGGAAAAGGAAAAAGCAAGGCAAAAGCCUAUAAAUAAAGCUGAAAAUGGCUAGGUGAAAAAAAAUAAUACCAAAAAUAAAGUAAUGCCUCAAAGUCAAAAAGUUCUUAAAUGUUCAAUCUUUAGUCAAAUAAUUUCAAGAAAUAAGCUAAGGGUUAUUGACCCUAAAUUUUCUUUUUCGUACCUUGACCCAAGCCUUACAUUACAAGCCUAAAAGACCUUUUGAUCAUGAAUCAAGUAUGUAAAUCUAAUAUUAGUGUAGAGGAAAGGAGAAAAUGAACAUAUGAAGUUUAUUUUACUUUGAGUUGAAAUGUGAUGAAAUAUUUUACAUUCUUUUUACUUGAUUUAUAUGUAUGAAUUAAAGAUGGGGUAAUUUCAUAUGCAUGGAGAUUAUUAGAUAUUGAAAGCUUACUUUAUGAAGGAAUUUCUUAUGAAUCUAUGUUUAUAGUUUACUUUGUAUUAUGCAACAGUACAUGAAUGAAAGUUUAUGAAAUUUUGACUUUGUGAGUAUAUAUAAUGAUCUUUAGUUUAAUUGAUUUGAGAAUUUUGCUUGAGGACAAACAAAGACUUAAGUGUGGGGGGUGUGAUAGCACCUAAAUUUAUAGUGAUUUUACAAGUUAAAAUUAGUGCAAAAUUUUAAAUUUUGGUAAAAUUUGGUGCUAUUAAUGUUGUUUUCUUGAUUUUUAAGGUUCUAGACCAUGGAACAUGAUUCAUAUGCAAUCCAUGCAUGCAAGCAUGCAAGAUAGAAGUUGGCCAUGCAAUAAAGAUGACUAUUUAAACAUUAUUGGCCUUCCAUUCGGCCAAGAGAUGAAUUUUACAUGCAUGAGGUCUUUGCAUCCAUUCAAGUAGAUCACUUCUAAGAAGAUGUGAUGUACAUUUGAAGAAUUUCACUUGCAUUAGGACACACUUUUAGAAAAAGAAAGAAGCAUUCAACACCACUAAUACCUACUCCUAUGGUAAAGGCAAAUAAUGAAAGGCAAAGAACUUUAAGGUACUAUGUAGUUUCUAAUGUAGAUGUUUUUUAGCCAUUCAUCCGAAGGCCAGCUAUUCAAACCAAUAACUUUGAGAUAAAGCCUUCAAUUAAAGAAAUGGUCCAAACUUCUAUGCAAUUUGGAGAACUACCAAGUGAUGAUCCAAAUUUACAUCUUUCUAAUUUUCUUAAACUUUGUGAUACUUUUCAUUACAAUGGUGUUUCUGAUGAGGCUAUUAGACUAAGAUUGUCAUCUUUUUCUUUUAGGGACAAAGUAAAAAAUUGGUUAUCUUCUUUACCAUGAGGCUCAAUUACAACAUAGGAUAAUCUAGUUUAGAAAUUUUUGGCAAAGCUUUUCCCACCAACAAAUACUACAAAGUUAAGGAAUGAGAUCACCACUUUUCUACAGGCUAAUGGUGAAACCUUAUAUGAUGAAUGAGAGAGAUUUAAAAAUUACAUAGAAAAUGCCUAUAUCAUGGUUUACCUCAAUGACUCCAAAUUCAAAUAUUUAAUAAUGGUCUCACACCACCCAUGAAAACCACUUUAGAUUCAGCUACUGGAGGGGCUAUAAUGAGCAAGGCUCCUGAGGUGGCUAAUGAGCUAAUAAAAAGAUGGAUGCCAGUAAUUACCAGUGGGGCAUGGAAAGAAAGGUUAGUAAAAAAUUUACUGGUUUAUUUGAAGUUGAUCUUAUUACUUCCAUUAACUUUCAAUUGGCUAUCCAUACAAAAAAAGAUUGAAGCCCUAAGAAACUAAACACAAGCCAACCCUAUUAAUGCCAUACAAAGUCCUUUUGUAUCUUGUGACAUAUGUAAAGGUCCUCAUUCCUCAGAAAGAUGCCAAUAUAAGGCAGAAUCUAUCUACUACAUCUAACAAAACAAAUCAAGUAAUAAUCCAUAUAGCAAUAACUACAAUCCUAGCUGGCAAAACCACCUUAACUUUUCUUAGAAUCAACCAAACCACCAUGCCACCAACAACUAAACCAACAACUACCACCCUAAUCCACCAUACUAUAACCCACCCUAAGAAAAAAACUACUUUUGAGGAUAUGUUGACUCGGUUGAUACAAGCUAAUAAUGCCUACAUUAAAGCCAACCUACAUUCAUAAAAAGCCUAGAAAUCAAAUAAGUCAAACCAUAGCCAAUCACCCAGUAAGUACUUUACCUAGUAACACUGAAACUAACUCUAAGAAAAAAGUAAAAAGGGAUGCAAUGCAAUAUAUUCUUUAGGGGAUGUUACGAUAGAUGAUUUUGAUGAAGAAGAUGAUGAACCCAUAGUUGUCAACCUACCCAGCUUUGUAAAACAACCUGAAGUCAAUUUUAUUGGCAGGGGGAUAUUUUGGAAGAUGAAAAGCUUGUAAGACUUGGUAGAGAAAUCUUGGAGGUUUUGACCCUAUGUCAUUAAAAGCCCCUGAAGCUAUUGAAACUUACGAGAUGGCCUAUGGGAAAGAUCCAGAAGCAUAUAUUGAAGGGUAUCCUUAAGAAAAACAAAUAAUACUACAAGUAGGGAAAGCAUUAGUAGAAAACAUUUUGCCUAAAAAGAUAGCCCAAGGUGCACCUAUCCAAAAUAACCAAGGAAAAGGGGUAAUGCAAUAGGAGGACCCCAAAUAAGAAGAUCCUAAAGAAUAAUAAUAAGAAGAAAUUAAAAAAAAGAAUUAGCAAAGGCCAAAGAUGACUGCUAGAAUGUACAGGUAGUGUUUCAAUGUUAACCUACCUACCCCAAGGCCUAUUCCUAAGGAGUUACUUAAAGAACUAAAAGAAACCAUAUUUUUAGAUGAUUACAACCCUGAGCUUCAACAACUCUUACCCAAAAAGUUAAAAGAUCUAGAGAGUUUUACUAUACCUUGCACGAUUGGAUUGAAAUUCUUUGAUGCACUUUGUGAUCUUAGUUCAAGCAUAAAUUCAAUGCCUAUGAAUGUUUUUAUGCAAUUAGGUUGUGGAAAGUUGAAACUUUCUAUAUUUAACAUUAAGUUUACUGAUCAAUUUACUAAGUUACCAUAAGGGAUGCUAAAAAAUCUCUUGGUGAAAGUUGAAAAAUAUGUUUGCCCCAUAGAUUUGGUUGUUUUAGACAUGGAGGAUGAACAAGCUCCCUUACUUUUCGGUAGACCUUUCCUAUUCACUACAAAAGCCUUGAUAGAUGUGUAGAAGGCUAGCAUUACCCUUAAGUUUAAACAUAAGAAAAUGUAAUUUAUAUUUGCAGGGUAUGGUGUGAUAAGAAAUGAAGAAAGUUUUAGCACAAUUAGGGAAUUUAAGGAAACCCUAAAAGAGUCUAACCUAUUAGUAAAACCUCUUGACUUUCUGAAAAACUUAGCAAACCCUAGCUCCAAUAUUGUCAACCUUUCCAAAAAGUUAAGCUCAGUUUAAUCCCUACUAGAAGAGUCAACCCACCUCUUUAAACUAAGUCUCUUUAUGUUAUACCGUAAAAAAAAAAAGACAACAAGGAAAAUUCCUUCCUAAGGGAUGAAAAGAUUUGAGGAUGGUUAAGCUUGAACAAAAGUAGCACUCCUUGGGAGGCACCCAAGUUCUAUUUUAAAGGUUAUGAUUUCUUGAUUUUUUUUUAGGACAAGUAUGUUUUAAUAUUUUUGUUUGAGUUUUUUUUAUUUCUUAGGGAUGAAGAAAAGCAAGGAAGAUGCAUCAUGGAUAUUCAACCUUAAAGAAUUUUAGGGAGUAUUUCUUUUUCCUUUAAGUUUCUUGAUAUAUGAUUCCAUUUAAAUGUAGGGGAAAAGAAUUAAUUUUUUUAUUUUAACUCAUCUUUGCUUUCAAAAGCAAAUUGACUUUCUAAGCUUCAUUAUGGUAUUCACUUAGUUGGAAAUUAUAUAUAUUCUCUUGAAUGACUAAAGUAUGAUAUGGAGUUUAAGUAUGGAUGUAGUGAAACUUGGAAGAAUUCUUAAGCAUGUCUUUACUUUGAAUAUGAUUUUUAUGCAUGCAUCUCUAUUAUCAUUAUAUGGAAUGCCAUAAUUCCUAUAAAGUUUUGUGAAAUAUAGAUUUGUAUGAAAUUUAAGAUUUGAAUAAGUGUUCUACUCAACCCUUUAGGCAAAAUAAUAAACUGUAUUUGACUCAAGAGAUGAUCUUGGCAGUUCUUUGGAUCGUUUAAGCCUUUUUCAAGUCUACCUUAUGUUUAUGUAUCCUUACUACCCUUAUUUUGAGCCUUUAUAUUAAUCUUUUUUUUUGUUUAUUUAACCACAUUACAAGCCCAAUAAGUUUUUUGUAUUAUUAUCCUUUCUUUUAUUGUCCUUACCCACUAUGCUUUACUUGUUUAUCAUAGACAUAGUCUUGUAUUUAAGAGGUAAAAAAGUGCAAGGAAAGCAUGAAAAUUGGCAAAAGUAAAAGUAAAGCCUAUUAAAGCCAAAAAUGGCUAUCAUUAAAAAAAAAAAAAGAGAAAAUGUAAAAAAUACAAAGCAAUAAAGAAUGCUUCACAAGUCAAAGUCUCAAAAAAAGUUCUCAAUUGUUCAAAGUCCAAGAAGUUUAAAGAAAAAGUCAACUUAGGGUUUUAAGCCUAAAAUUUCAUUUUUUUCUACCUUGACCCAAGCCUUACAUUAUAAGCCUAAAAGACCUUUUGAUUUUAAAUUGAAUAUAAAGGUCUAACAUUAAUAGAAAGGGAUGGGAAAAAUGGACAUAUGAAGCCUAUUCUAUCUUUAAAUUGAAAUGUGAUGAAGUGUUUUACAUUCUAUUUGCUUGAGUUGUAUGCAUGAUUUAAAGAUGGAGUAGAUUUGUAUGUAUGAUUAGCAUGAGUCACUGAAAGCUUGCUUUUGAAAGACAUGCUUGUGAUUCUAUAUUUAUUCUUAACUUUGUAUUAUGCAAUAGUACAUGUUAAAGAGUUUUGUAUAAUUUUUAACUUUGAAGAUGGUUAUGAUGUUUUUAGUUUUAUUGAUUUGAAAUUUUACUUGAAGAUAAGCAAAGAUUCAAGUGUGGGGGUGUGAUAGCACCAAAAUAUAUAUAGUUUUUACAAGUUAAAAUACUGUUAAAAUUUAAAAUUUUAGAUGAUUUUUGGUGCUUUUCAUGCUAUUUUCAUGGCUUUAGGUUUUUCAAGCAUAAGAUUCAUUUUCAUAUAAGCCAUGCAUGUAAUCAUGCAAAACUCACAUUCAACCUAACUAUGCAAGCACAAUGCCACACACCAUUGGUCCACAUUCAAUCAUGCCUAAGCCCAAUUGAAUCAUAAUCCAUUUGGCCAAGGUGGAUUUGCAAGAAAAAUGUGUUUGUUUGAUAAGCCAUGAAAUGAUUGACGUGCAUAAUGAUAGUAUCACAUUUGACUAAGCAAGAGGGACAGAGAAUUUGUAGACCAUGAACUCCCUAAGCUCAAUCCAUUUGGCUAAGAGGUGUUGGAAGCCAAUCAUGAUACUUUUUCUUUGUCUUAAAGAGUUUUGACAAGAUGAGAACUUUGUCACUUUGAUGUUCAAGAGUUUGAAUAAAAUGUAACUUAUCUCCUUUUGAAAUCUCAUCUUAGACAAACCUAAGAAGGAAGCUUGAUCAAGAUUACAUCAUAUGAAGAUCAAGGGCCAAGAUCAUUCUAUUCAGCCAAAGCAUUUCAAAAAUGAAGAGUUUGAUUUUUGUAUGCAACUUUAAAGAUUAAGAUAGAGCUUUAUCUCCUAGUUUUGGAAUUAACUUCAAUCACUUGUAAAGCCCACCAUUUUGGCUAAACCUAUGCCUAUAAAUAGGCAAGGCUAUUCACUUGUUUCAUCGAUCCCUUUCCUCACUUUUCCUCUUUCUUUUAGUUUUUUUAGUUCUUUAUUUCUAGAGUUAAGGUAUUGGCUUAGGGGACAAAUUUGACAAUUACCAAGAUUUUUGUUUUUUAAAUCUAUUUUAAUCAAAAAGUUUUUUCAUUAGAAGAUUUAUUUUAUUAUUUUCUCAUUUAAAAAAUCUUAUUCUUGUUUUCUUUACUAUUCGGCAUAAACAAUCUUUCAUUUUUGUAGAUACCCUAAUCGAUUCGGACCCAAACCCAUUAGGCCUGGUCUAACAGGAUUUGGCCCUAAGUCCAUUAAGCCCAGUUCAAUGGGGAUAAGUAUUUAGGCCUAGGUGUUUAUUAUUUUUUUUAUUUUUUUAUUUUAGGAUAUUAACAAAAAAAAAGGGAAAAGAUAAAAUUUUGCUGUGUGAAUGCAUGUUGGUUUUUUUUGAAGGGAUUGAAUUUGUUUAAGGAAAAUCUGAAGUUUCAAAUAAUAUCAAAAUCUUGUCAAAGGUUGAGUUAAUCAGGGAUUUUUCUAAAUUUUCCUAUAAAAUUGGCAAAAAGAUUACAAAAAGAUUACACGAGGCAAAGAGAUCAUAUAGAACAAAGAUACAGGAGGAAAAAAAACAAAACAGAUAGAUCAGAAACACAUAGAGAGAGAAAAUUAGAAGUAGAAAAGAUAACAGAUAGAUUAAAAACAUAGCAAGCAGAGGGAAAAAAUUUUAGAGUUUUGUUAAAUAGAAAAAAAAAUUUUUGGAAAAUUUUCAGAUUUCGAUGAAAUUUUUUUACCUCGGUUGAAUUUUUUGACAGGUUUCCUAGAAUCUAGCCCAGAUUCCAGUGUCGGUAAAAUUUUUUGAUGACAUUUUGAUGAACCAACCAAGAUUCCAAUAACGUUUUUCAGAAUUAGGUGAAGAUUCAACCAAUGUUCAUCCGGGUAGAGAGAGAAAGAGAGGGAGAGGAAAGAAGGGUGAAGAGAGAGAGGAAAGAAGAAUUAUGCUGAAAAGGCUGAGAAUUAACCUUAUAUACCCAUUGAAAAUGACGUUGUUUUGGCCUUACUAAUCCCAUAGGAUCCGCGCAUUUUCAAGCGGGUGACCCGACCUGUAGCGUAACCCGAACCAGCAACCCGCGUCCCUGCCUAGGCUCAAACUGAGUCAAGCUGCAAAUUAAGCCGCCAAGCCGCACCUUUGAGUCGGUCUGUAUGCCUCAAGCCAAGCCGUUUCAUUCGUUGAGCCGAGCAACAUCAAGGUUUUAUUUAUUUAUUAUUAUUAUUACUAUUUUUGCUUAUUGACUAAAUUAUAAUUAUUUGGUAUUCCUUAUUUUUUUAAUUUUAAUUUUAAUUUUAAUUAAUUAUUUAUUUAUUUUUGUCAAUGAUUUUCCUAAAAUACAAAUUUCAAAAAAUAUAUAUAUUUUUGGGAAAAAGUUGAAAAUAUCAAUUUUCCUUAUAAAUAAAUUUUUUAAAAAAUAUUUCUAAUUUCUAAAAAAUAUUUUUGAGGAAAAGUUGAAAGUAUCAAUUUUUCUUGACAAUAAAAAUUUUUAAAAAAUAUUUUUUAGGAAAAGUUGAAAGUAUCAAUUUUCUUUAAAAAUAAAAUUUCUAAAAUAAAAAUUUUCAAAAGCAUUUUAAGGAAAAGUUAAAAGUAUCAAUUUUCCUUGAAAUUAAAAUUUCAAAAAAAUAUGUUAAAGGAAAAGUUGAAAGUAUUAAUUUUCCUUGUAUAAAAGCAAUGAGUGUUUUUUUUUUCUUUAUAUAUAAAACAAAAAGAAAAAUAUUUAUAUGAAAAGUCGAAUCAUUAUUAUUAUUUUUUUCUUUCUUUCUUUGAAAAAUUUUUAAAUGUUAAAUAAUCUGACGAUGGAGCCUCUGCAAGAAAAAUAAUAGUUUUCUUGUAUACUUUUGAGGUGAGGGAAUUUUCUUAAUUUUUCUACCAAAAGUAUUGGAGUCAAUUAAGAAUAAUUUAUAAUAAUUAAUUACUUGAUAAAUUUUUAAGGCUUAUUGGAUAACACGAAAUUAUGCUAGUACCAUCAUCUGAUGGGCAUUGUGAGUGUGCUAUAACCUUUCUCAUACGUAACUGUACUAUCGGACCUAGUCUUGGUUUCACAGACAUUGAAUUUAUCUUUUAGAGAUACCUAAAUCGAACUUAGGAUUCCUCUUUAGAAGGGGCAGAUUCAGUUGGUGGCCAAUUGCACCUAAAUGAAAAAGAUUGGUGGCGACUCCUCAAGUCAAUGUCUAGCGAUAGGUUUAUGGAUCUAAACGUUAUAACAGUUUGGUGACUCCACUAGGGACAGCCGAGAGUCAAGCUAACAAAUAAAUUUGUGUUAUCUAAAAAAACCUUAUAAAAUUGAAUUCUUUGUAAGGAUUUUUUUUUCUUUUUUUUUCUUUUCUAUUCAUUGUAUUUAUUUAUGUUGCAAACUAUGUCAUUCAUAUGCAUAUGCAUAACAUGAGCUCUAUACUCAAGUUUUGUCCCUCUAGGAGAGAGUAAAGUACCUAUGCUUUCAUGAGGUUUUAAUGCCUCUGCAGUGGCUAGUGAGAUACUCUCACUCAAAUUGAAUCAUUUUCGUUGGUAGCCUGUGAUGGGUGAGGUUUAGAUUACCUUACUAGUCUGUGAUGGACGAUAAUGUAAGGAACAAUUUAGGAACCUUUAGUGGUCAAAACUGUCUAACUCAACAUAUAGUGUACACUUAAAAGGCCAACCCUAAGAUAGAGCCCUUCCUACCCAAUGAUAGAUAUACCCCGAAACUAGGACACAAUAAGGAAUAAGUUAUGUUUAUGUAACUGUUUUGAUUGUUUGACUUUGUGCAUUUGCAUUAUCAUGUCAUGCAUCAUUUUUAUUGUCAUAUGUAACGUUGUGCAUAUGCAUCAUUGUCAUAUUAGAUUUCAUCCAUGAAAAUGUACAUUUCAUUCAUGCAUUAAAAUAUCAUACAUAAAGCAUAGCAUAUCAUUUUUAAUCAAAAUUAUGGUGCUCAAGGUUCGAGGAUAGCUCCACCAAGCAACUUUACUCAUCAAUACAAUAUAAGAGCUCAAGCCAGACAAAUGGAAUAAGAAAAUUUCAAUCAUUUCGAAAGGAUAAAGAAAGCUCAAGAAAAGCUAGAAGGAGAGUUGAAUAGGUUUUUGAAGGCUUUGAACAAGUUAAAUAAGGGAAAAAAUGUAAAGGAGAAUACCAGCCAACAAGACCAUCCCUCACAAGAGGAGGAUGACCCACUGUACCUUUUAAUUUUUGGGCCACAUCAAGCCCAACCCGCACAAGUCCACCACCACAGCAGUUUAUCUAUCUUGCAGGGUACACAUACCCUGGAAUACCAUCAACUUCAAAUUUAAGGCAAUAUCAGAGUUAUGUAAAUCCUAUCUUUACUAAGAUUGUAGUAGAACUAAUACCAGUCCCUAAUUUGGAUGAUCUAAAAGAAAAAAAGAAGCUGAGGCCCAAAGAGAAGGAGAUUUUAAAAGCCUCAAAAGCUAAACAAAAGAUAAACUUGUUAGAGAAAAGGUUACAAGCAGUAGAAGGCAUUGGUUCUUAUGGUUUAGUGGAUGCUGCUAGGCUCUGUUUGAUCCUAGAUGUUGUUAUUCCUCAAAAGUUCAAAGUGCCAGAAUUUAAAAAAUACGAUGGCACAAAAUGUCCGAAGACCCACAUUAUCAUGUAUUGUCAAAAAAUGGCUGCCCAUGCUAAGAAUGAGAAACUAUUAAUGCAUGUGUUCCAAGAUAACCUCACGGGCUCUGCUGCUAGGUGGUAUGUCCAGUUGGAUAAGACCCACAUUUGUUCUUAGAGUGAUAUGGCCCAUGCCUUCAUUGGUUAGUACUAACAUACUAUAGACUUGGCCUCUAAUCACCUGUCUUUGCAGAAUAUGGAAAAGAAAGUGACUGAAUCAUUCAAUGAAUAUGCCCAGAGAUUGAGGGACAUAGCCUCUCAAGUGCAGCCUCUAUUAGCUGAGAAAAAGACCACAGUAUUAUUUGUCAGCACUUUGUAAUCUCCAUAUUAUGAAAAAAUGAUAGGGAAUGCCACAAAAAAUUUCAUUGACAUAGUGAUCUCAGGUGAAAUCAUUGAGAAUGCCAUUAAAAAUGGUAAGUUGAAAGAAGGGGAAACCAAAAAGGUGCCAGAGAAGAAAAAGACUGAAGAUCAAGCUGCGAGCCUUGAUAGACAAUUCAAGGGAUACCAACCCUAUCUACCACAAGGUUAUGCCCCAUACUAUCUUACUGUAAACAAUAUUUCACCUUACCUUUACCAGCCAUAUCUACAAUUGGCUUACUUACCAACUUACCAAUCAGCCUUUCAAGUACCUGCAUAUGAUUCUAGUCAUAUCACUAUAAUAGUUUCAAAGCCUAACAACCAAGCGAGUGGCUCAAGGAGAUCUCGAGAUAAUCAAGAAAGGGCACAUAUUGACCCAAUCCCCAUGACUUACACUGAGUUAUUCCUAGAACUGGUCAAGAACAAUUUGGUAUCUCUAAUUAUGCUAGAACCAUUGAAACCACCUUAUCCAAAGUGGUAUGAUGCUAAUGCGAUGUGCGAUUAUCAUAAUGGGAAUGUGGGUCAUUCUAUUAAAACUUGCCCUACUUUUAAACAUAAAGUGCAAAGUUUGAUCCAUAAAGGCUUAGUGAGUUUCGAUGAAUUAGGGGGGUAAGAUGUUAAUAAAAAUCCUUCACUUGAUUAUACAGGGGCAUGAUUUUAGAAAAGGAUGUCAAAGCUGGUUGGAAGUUACGUGUCAUUUUAGGAUUUCCUUUAAAGUAAUGUUAGAAUUUCUUUUAUGCAAUAAGAUUGCAUUUGUUAUCGUUUUAAUAAAAGGCAAGGAUAAUCCAUUUCAUUACAUUUUCUCUUUUAUUCAAUCACUGUUCUAUUCUUUGUCACCUUUCAUAACUUUUCGUUUCCAUUUUUGAACUCUGAAUGAUGAAUGUUUAGAUAAUGAUGCUAACAAUAAUUCUGAGAUUUAAUUUUGAGAACUCAUUCACAUUGAUUUGAAGUGAUUAUUUGAAAAAAAGUUACUAACAGAUAUGAGAUGGAUAUAUCUUGAAGAUGUAAUCAUUUAUGAAGAUCCAUGAGCUUGUUUUUGUUUAAUAGAUGAUCUUUAAAUAAAGCAUUCACAUUUGAGAUGAAAAAUGGUUAUCUUUCUUUUACUAUUCGAAAAACCAUUCAUUGCUAUCCCUUUGAGCCUAUUAUGAUUUCUUUUUCUAAAAAACCAUGACCAAGGAUCACCUUUUACACUGGAGGGCAUUUAAAAAAAAAAGGUAAAAAAAAGAAUCAUAAAAGGUCUCAAAGAUAGAAAGAAAAGAAAGAAAGAAAAGCAAAACAAAGAAAAAAGAGAAAAAAAAAAGGAAAUGAAUGCCACAAAUGAUUUGGGGCAAAAUAAGGGGAAUCUUUUUGUGAAGAAUGAGAUCGAUGAAAAAAGAAAAAGUAGUGAAAUAAUGUGGAAUGGGGCAAAAUGCCAAGUUGCAUCAAAUAAUAAAUGAUCCUUUAGUUUUGAAACCUUUAAAGACAUGUUUUGAGCCUAUUUUAUCUUUAUUUUAUGAUCCCUCACCAUGGCCUACAUUAUAACCUUGAAAAGUCUAUUUGGAUCAAGUAUGAAUGCUUGAAUUGAAUGAUCAUAUGUUAGGCGAAGACAUGCUCAUGAUAGAAUAAUGGAAUCACGUUAUAUUGUUCUAGAGAUUAAUGUGUGAGAGAUAUCAACAAUGGAUGAAAAAAGAUGAAAAAGGAAAAGAGAAAAAAAAGGGAAAAUGGAUGAAAAAAAAGAAAAAGAGAAAAAUGAAAAAAUAAGAGAAAAUAAAAAAAAAAAGAUGAAAAGAAAAAAGAAGACUCAAAUUGAAAACCCGAAAGGGCAAUUUGGGUAGACAAAUCUCUAAGCUGAAAAUUGGAUGAACAAUUCAAAUAUAUGGAAGAUCAAGGCAUCUAAAGAUCCUUUAAAGCUAGGGCAAAGUUUGAUGAGCUCAAAAUGAUUUCGACAGUUAAUGGAAUGAGUUUUCAAAAAAAAAUCUUGAAUUAAUGUUCAAAAUUGUCAGAAUAUUCAUUUGUCCUAAUGACAUACAUCCAACUUGUUUUUUUUCCCCAUUUACUUUUGUACCAAAACUCACUCCUCAUUGAUUGCUUUUCUCCUACUGCACCUUGUGCACUUUUAUUCUCACUUCCCUAUAAUGAAUUGAGGAAAUGUAUGAUUGCAUUGUGUUUGUCAAGAAUUGAAAUGAUAAUGAAUGAAUGAAUAUGUGCUUAAAAGGUUCUUGCAUUCUUUUGAAAAAAAAAUCCAGAAUGAUCGGAAGUAAAAAUGAUGAAGAGAUGGUAGAAACUUGAAAAAUGACACAUGGGAUGGCCAAAUGUUGAACAUGGUAAUGGAUUGCUUAAUAAGAUCUAAAAAGAUGAUGUGAUCAAGAGACGAAUAUAGUGAUAGAUUGAUCGACAUAACCUAUGUAUUGUGAUCAAAUGAUGAGAAUCAAUGGACAAAAUUCAUUUUAGAAUGGCUAGUGCUGAAAAACCUGUGAAUGGUGAUCAAGCGAUGAAAAUAGUAUAGAUCAAUAGACAAAAUUUGUUCUGAAAUAGUUACUAUUGAUAAGCCUAUGAAUGGUGGUCAAGUGAUGAAAAUAAUAGUGAUAAGUUGAUAAAACUCAUGAAAUGUGAGAUGGUGGGGUCUUGAGAACCAUAUUACCACAAUUUCAUGACAUUUAUCUGCAUUACAUGUAUUAUGUUUGCUUCGUCAUUUGAACAGUACAUGUACAUGAUUUGGUGAAUAUUUAAAAUUUUGUUUGGCCAUGCAUCAGCUAGCAAACAUUGAAAUCAUGAUUUAGGAUAUGGCAUCUACGUUAUUAUGUGAAUCCAUAUUGUUGCAUUUGCAUCCUUAAUCAUGACAUAUAAAAUUUUGAGUCACCGAAAAAGAAAUUGUGAAUCUUUUGAUAAGUAUCUUAAUUUCUUAAAUGAGAAUCUUUAAGAAAUCUUCAAAUGAGAAUCUUCGAGUCUUAAAUGAAAAUCUUUAAGAAAUCCUCAAAUGAGAAUCUUUGAGUGUCAAAUGAAAAUCUUUGAAUUUCAAAUGAGAAUCUUUGAGUCUUAAAUAAUAAUUUUUGAGAUGUGAAACCCAAAAUUUAUCGAAUGUGAAUCUUCAAAUUCAAAUGAGAAUCUUUGAAUUUCAAAUGAAAAUCUUUGAGAUGUGAAACCCUAAAGUUUGUUGGGUGUGAAUCUUUGAACUAAUGAAAAGUUUUGAACUUUCGGAUGUGAAUCUCCAAAAUUCAAAUGAAAAGCUUUGAACUCAACUUUUGGAUGUGAAUAUCUAAAUUUUUGAGUGAGAAGAUGUGAAACUCUAAGAUUUCUUAAAUGUGAACUUUUUGAAUUCAAACGAAAAGCUUUGAACUUUUGGAUAAGAAUCCACAAAAUCUGAAUGAGAUCUUUAAAUGUUGGAUGUGAGUCUUGCAAAUGCAAAUCUUAAGAUCCUACAAAAUUGAAUUCUUACAUAGUUGAAAUUUUGAGAAUCAAAUUUCAGUGAGUUCUUGUGAAGCUGAAAGGUUCUUGCGAAUCUGAACCUUUGAAUUUUGAGUUUGCAUGACAAAUUUCAUCAGGUCUAAUCUACGAUACCUCUGGACAUGAUUGUCGAGAAGCCUUUUAUUUUUUCAAAGUUGUUGAGCCUCUGAUUAGAGGAGCUUUGUUUAUUUUUCUCAAAGUUGUUGAGCCUCUAAUUAGAGGAGUUUUAUUUAUUUUUCCAAAGUCAUUGAGCCUCUAUUUAGAGGAGCUUUGUUUACUUGUUAAAAAAAAAACAAAAAUAAAAAAAAUGAAAAAAAAAAGUGUUGGGGUGAUCAUAUGUGGGGUGUCUACGUUUUUACACAAUUCUUGUUGCAUAGGAAAUGCGCAAAGAGGGGUAGCUGUAGACACCCUAAUCAGUCUUGACCUAAACCAAUUAGGCUUGGUCUAUUAGGAUUUGUGCCUAAGCCCAUUAGGCCUGGUUCAUUGGGGCCAAGUAGUUAGGCCUAGGUGUUUGUUAUUUUAUUCUUAUUUUUUUAUUUGUGUUAUUUUAUUAUUUAUUUUAUUUUAGGACAUUAGCAAAAAGAAAGGGGAAAAGAUAAAAUUUUACUAUGUGAAUGCAUGCUGAUUUUUUUUAAGAGAUUGAAUUUGUUGAAGGAAAAUCCAAAGUUUCUGAUAAUAUCAAAAUCUUGUCAAAGGUUGAGUUAAUCAAGGAUUCUUCUAAAUUUUCCUAUAAAAUUCACACAAAGAUUACAGAAAGAUUACGUGAGGUAGAGAGAUCACACAGAACAGAGAUACAGGAGGAAAAAAAAUAGAAUAGAUAGAUCAAAAACACAUAAAAAGAGAAAAUCAGAAGCAGAAAAAAGAACAUAUAGAUUAGAAACACAAUAAGCAGAAGGAAAAUUUUUUUGAAGUUUUGUUAAAUAGAAAAGAAAAUUUUUUGGAAAUUUUUUGGAAAAUUUCUAGAUUUCGAUGAAAUUUUUUGACGCCGAUUGAAUUUUUCAGUGUCUGUUGAAUUUUUUGACAAGUUUCCCAAAAUGUGGCCUAGAUUCCAGUGUCGGUUGAAUUUUUUAGCGACAUUCCAAUGAACUAACCCAGAUUCUGGCAACGUUUUCUAGAAUUCGAUGAAGAUUUAACUAGUGUUCAUCCAAGUGAGAGAGAGGGAGACGAAAGAAGGAGGAAGAGAGAAAGGGGAAAGAAGAAUUCUGCUGAAAAUGUUGAGAAUUAGCCUUAUGUACCUAUUGAAAACGAUGUCAUUUUGGUCCUACUAAUCCCAAAGGAUCUACGUGUUUUCAAGCGAGCGACUCGACCCGUAGCACAACCCGAACCAAGAUCUCGCAUCCCUGCCUGGUCUACAGUCGAGCCGAGCCGUAACCUGAGCCACCAAGCGGUACCUUUGAGUCGAUCUUUGUGCCUCAAGUCAAGCCGUUUCAGCCGUUGAGCUGAGCCGCGUCAAGGUUUUUUUUCAUUUAUUUAUUUAUUAUUUUUUUUUUAUUGACUAAAUUAUAAUUAUUUGGUAUUCCUUGUUUUUUUAAUUUUAAUUUUAUUUAUUUAUUUAUUUAUUUAUUUUUGUCAAUGAUUUUCCUAAAAUAAAUUUCCAAAAAAAAAUAUUUUUGGGGAAAAGUUGAAAGUAUCAUUUUUCCUUAGAAAUAAAUUUUCUAAAAAAUAUUUCCAAUUUCUAAAAAAUAUUUUUGAAGAAAAGUUGAAAGUAUUAAUUUUUAUUGAUAACAAAAAAUUUUAAAAAACAUUUUUUAGGAAAAGUUGAAAGUAUCAAUUUUUCUUAAAAAUAAAUUUUCUAAAAUAAAAAUUUUCAAAAGCAUUUUGAGAAAAAGUUGAAAGUAUCAAUUUUCUUUGAAAUUAAAAUUUCAAAAAAAUAUGUUUAAGGAAAAGUUGAAAGUAUCAAUUUUCCUUGUAUAAAAGAAAUGAGUUUUAUAUAUAUAUAUAUAUAAAAUAAAAAGAAAAAGAUUUAUAUCAAAAGUCAAAUCAUUAUUAUUAUUUUCUUUGUUUCUUUGAAAAAUUUUUAAAUGUUAAAUAAUCUGAGGAUGGAACCUCUAUAAGAAAAACAAUAGUUUUCUUGUAUACUCUUGAGGUGAGGAAAUUUUCUUAAUUUUUCUGUCAAAAGUAUUGGAGUCAAUUAAUAAUAAUUUUUAAUAAUUAAUUACUUGGUAAAUUUUUAAAGUUUAUAUGAUAACACAAAAUUGAGCUGGUACCAUCAUUUGAUGGGUAUUAUGAGGGUGCUAUAACCUUUCUCACACGUAACCAUACUCCCGGACUUAGUUUUGGUUCCGCAGACAUUAAAUUUACCUUUUAGAGAUACUUAAGUUGAACUUAGGAUUCCUCUUUAGAAGGGGCAGAUUCGGUUAGGUGGCCAAUCACACCUAAAUAAAAAAGAUUGGUGGUGACUCCUCAAGUCAAUGUAUUGCGAUAAAUCUAUGGAUCUAAACGUUAUAACAAUCUUCAAGAUCCAAGUUCUUUUAUUAUUGAUUGCACAAAAAUUUUAGCUUUUUCACAUUCAUUUUUAGUGCAAUUUAAUUUAUAUUUUGGCUUGUUCAUUAGGAUUUUUGACAAAAUUGCUCCUAAAUGCACAUUGAUCUCAUGUGGAGGUACAAAAGGAGAAAUUGAGGAAUUUUGGUCAAAUUGGAUACAUUUUGGAGGAUUUUUUGUGUGAAAUUAUGCAAUUAGCCUAAACUACUGUCAAUAUAUAAUAUUAGCACUUAGGAAUUUUGUUGAUUUUUCUUGCUUGAUUUUUUUAAUAUUAUUUUUAUAGUUUUUAUAUAUAAUGGAUGAUAAAAAUAUUCACAGAAUGUUUGGAAAUUUUGCAAAAAAAAAAAAAGGAAAAUAAAAAGAUAUAUGAAGCAUGCAAGAAGGACAUUGGUGCAUGGUGCAUGGCAGAAGCACCAAAAUUUCAAAAUGUUUCAAGCUAUUUCAAGAGCACCAAUUAGAGGGGUUGAUGUGGCAUUUUCAAGAGCUUUGAUUGGUCAUUAAAUUGACUUAUUAGACCACCCAUUACACAUCAAAGAAGAGCUUGCAAAGUGUUAAAGAAAAAGCCAAACAGCCAUGCACCAAAUGCAUAAGCAAGGAGGAAUUCUCUAGAAACUUACCUCAUUAUAGAUAUUUUAGAGAGAUUUUUUGAGGCUUCAUUCAUCACUCACCUAACUAUAAAUAGGAGUGGAACCAACCAUUUUAGGGAUACUUUAGCUUAGGAUUUUAUUUUCUUGUUCUUUAACUUAUGCACGUUCCUUUACUGCAUUUUACUUUCUUAGCAACCAAACAGACCUUGAUCUUCAUGUUUUUCUAUUGAUUUGAUUGUACUUUUACAUUUCCUCAAGUAUUUUUCAGUUUUCUUAACGAUUUUGGCAAUGAAACUUGCAAAUUUUAUUGAUUUCUAGCUCAAAUCUACUAAUUUUUCAUUGAUACUCAAAUCUGUUUUUGAAUAUGCCAGUUUUGACCUAUCUACGGUUUUUUCUUCAUAUCUCAUUCAAAUCAUACUUGUUUUUGUUCAAAUUUUUUCAUAAUUUCCUAAUUCAAUUAGCUACAACAUAUUAAAAAUUCAGCUUCAAACUCACAUCACAACCUUCCAAAUCAAGCUUGGAAAUUCUGGCUAGAUGCAGUGAUAGUGCAAUUCCAAUUUUGAUCCAGCAAGUUUGGCAUGGAAUUGCUCUUUCCUUAGUGAGUUGUUUGCCUUCUUUUCACUCUAAAUCCUUGGUUUUACUUGUUUACUUGUUGAUUCUUACUUGAUUUAGUUUACUUCUUUACAUUUCAUUGCUGUUUGGAUCAUUUUCUUAGAUGAUGUUCUGAUUUUCCAGAUUUUGCACUAUUUUUGAAAUUGAGUUUGUUGAGCUCAUUUCUUUAUUGAUUCAUACUAUUUUCUUGUUGAUUUAAGUAGUUAACUGGUAAAUCCAUGUUGUUCUAGCUUAUAUGAAGUUCUUUUCCAACAUAUAAUCACAACUUGAAUUUUUUUUGUUUUUUGCAAUAUUCAUUCUGCUCCUGCACAAAUAGGGUUUGGAGUUAGUUUUUGUGCAAUGUUUGUGUAAUUUUCUGCAUGUUUUCUUCUUCAAUUUUAUUUUGCAUUUAGUCCUUUAUCCUCUCAUACAUAUUCCAAGUUAGGUGUAGCUUUACUUGUGCACUAAAAAUCUCAAUCGUGAAAUGAAAAUUUUGUUUACAGCUUGUGUUUACUGUUUCUUGUUUGCUGCAAUUCUUUCUAUUUGACUUUUCUUUUACAUUUUGUUUAGUCAUUAUUCUUAGAUUAUGUGUUUAUAGAGGCUAGUUAAUAGCUGCUUCAAAAUCUGUUUAGAUUCAAGAAUCUCUUCAUACUUAGCUUUAGUUACAAUUGCAACAUUUAGCUUUCAUUUCAUGAUCAUGCUAGGCGUCAUUUCCAAGCUCUAUGUGGUGUCAUUUCCAUUUUCCUUAAUUCGAGAAUUUAGGUGUUAUUUCCAUGUGAAUUUUGUAUUUACGUUUCACUCAUGAUUUUCACUUUUUCAUUUUAUUUUAGCUCUUACUUGCUAUUGCAUUUUAGGACUAGUUAUAUUUUUUUUCUUUUGCAUUUUGUUCAUUUUUUAUCAUGUAUUUAUUUCUUAGUUAGUUUUAGUUGAUUGCUUGAAUUUUUUUAGUAGAAUUUUAAAUGUUUCAUAGAUAUUUUUUUUAUAGAACCAAUUUUAGAAGUGUAUGGGGAUAAUAGAUACUUAACUUAGGAAUGUCUUUAACUAAUUUUCGUCGGAUAGACAUCUAGACUUUCAUAGUAUCUACUAUUACUUGCACGGUAUGUGCACUUGCAGAGUUUCCUCAAUCAUUUACUUUGCAAGAUUCUACCAUUACUUUUUUCUUUCAUGAUUUUUUAAGUUGUUUUCAUGCAAUCCUCAUUUUCUUUACAAGCAUUCGGCUACUACUUCAAUUUUAUUUUCUUUGCAAUCUUUUUUAGUUUAGGCUUUAGGAUUGGUUGUUAGUAUUAAUUUUUGCUUCCUAAAUGACAGUUGGUGAAGUUUAGAACCUUGCCAUACAUUACCUUUAAUCUUUACUUAAUCUAUGUCUAUUUAAACCCUAUAACCCUAAAACCCUGAAUAUUUAUUUGUUUAGAUAUAAGAUCUUAGCUUUUCACCUUUGGUACUUGUGAACUACCCAAUAUUACAUUUUAUAAUCCUAGAGGAGACGAUACUUCGAAUACUCCACUUUAUUACUUAAUCUAUGCACUUACAGGCUUUAUACAAAAAGCAACAAUCAUACAUACAUCUGACUAAAUCAACUUCAAAGAGGAUUGCAAGCACACCUAAAGAAGUUCAAGCACACAAGGACACUAAAAGCAUUCAACCAAAGGUGUUUGAAUUUAACCAUGACUCUUUGAUAACCUAUUUAAAGAGUUGUGAUGGAAGAAGAACUCUAACAAGGUAAAUCUCAAAGAAAACUGAAGGAAAAUCAAAUAUCUUGUCUUAUAUCCCAACCCUUAGCCGAACCUAUUAUCGCGACGUAUCAGGAGCCGAGGGUAGGCUAACUCGAAAGCCAGACAAAUGGAAAAAAUUUGAAAAACAUGGGGAUUAAAAAUAUUUUCAAUAGAAACAAAAUUGAAAGAGUCACCACUCAUUUUUUUAGUGCAUAGUUGGCCACUCAAAAAUUUUUUAUCGUUUUAAUAAAACAUUUUAAAAUGGGUUUAAAAGUUUUAAAAAAAGAACAAAUUUACGAUUUACGAAAUUAGAGUUGAGUUCGAGAGUCGAUUAUGCGUGAGGAAGGAUUAGUACCAUGAUAAUGACUGUCAAAGACGAUACCAAUUGAUUGCAUGCUAUCUUUUAAUUUUAAUUUAAAUGAUCCUAUUUACUUAAUGUUUAAAAUUAAUUCCUAAAUUAAUUCCUUUCCUUCCUUUAUUUUUUCUUUUCCUUUUCUUUCUUUUUCUUUUUUUGAAAUAAGAAAUAAAUCAAAUUUAUAACAAAAUUUUUUUUUUUUUCAAACAAAAAGAUAAGUCAAAUUUAAAACAAAACAUUUUUUAUUUUUGGAACAAAGAGAAAUAAAUUUAAGUAUCGAAAUACUUUUUCUACUUUCCUAUAAUUAGGUAGAGUUUAAAAAAUAUUCUUAAUUAAAAAGUUUUCAAACUACCCCAUAAAACAAAGAUAAUAUCUGUCAUAAAUAAUAAUUAUCGAGAGUCCUCAUAUAGUUAGGCAAGAUCUCAAUGAUUAUAUUUGCUUUGGGUAUUAUCUUAUUUUAAAAACAUUUUUCUUUUGAAAAUUAAUUUUUAAAAACAAAUGCCUGAAAUGUAUGAAUAUUAUAAAAUGAUGAAUGUAUGACAAUAUAAUAUGAAUAAAGUAUAAAUGCGUGAUCAUAUAAGAAUACAUGGGAUGACAAGAUAAUCUGAAAUGCAAAUGCAUGAAUGAUUUAGGGCUUGGGGCGUUUGGGGUUUAGGUUAGAGUUAGAGUUUUAGGUUUUGGGUUAGGUUUUAGGGUUUGGGUUUAUGGCUUAGGUUUAGAGUUUAAGUUUAGGGUUUAGGGCUUGGGUUUAUGAUUCAAGAUUUAGGGUUUUUGAUUUAGGGUUUGGGGUUUAGGGUUUAGGUUUUAGGGUUUUGAUUUAGGAUUUCGAUUUGAAAUCUCACAAAAAAAAUUUUUUUUUGGGUUUUAUGGAAAUGAAUAUAUAAUGAAUGCAAAAUUACAAGAAUGCCAUUAAUGAAUGCAUGUGCCAAAUGUAUGACCUAGAAACUUAAUUACAAAAUAAGGUAUUUUCUAACUUAAUAACACAAACAUGUAAUGCAUAAAAAUUCAAAACAAAAAUGAAUCAAACAUGGAAAACUUUAAAUUUGGUUUGAAUGUUUCACCAUUUGUUCAUCAUUAACCCAACCAAACAAUAUAAAAAAUUCAUAAAAAAUAACCAUCAAGCAACAUUUUUUUAAUGAAGCUUUUGUUCAAACAUGUUAGAAAUUUUGCCAAACACCAUAAAAACAUAAUAUAAAGCAUGAAUCAAAGAACAAAACAUCUAUAAAACUAAAAAACAUGGUUUGGCCAACCCAAAGCCUACCGUGGCCGAACUUUUUGAUCUAUUUCCCAAGCAUUUUACUUCAUCUCAUUUCAUCCAAACAAGCAUGAUUCAUGUGAAAAUCAAAGUAACAAUUUCAUCAAAGACAAAAUGAACUAAUGUAAAUUGAAGACCUUAUGAACAAAUAUAUCAUCCAAACAACAAUAAAAUCCUCAUUAGAAACAUGAUCUAGCCACAUGGAAACUUGGAACUCAUAGCUAAAACAUCUUUUAUUAACCAUGAAUCAAACAACACAUAUUGGUUAAAGGGAGAAUUUUCAAUGGUCAAACAUCCCUUGGAUUUUUUUUAAGCAUACUUUGAUUCUAUUCAAUCCAACCAAGAUUCAUUUGUUUAUUCAUCCAUCUUACAAAGCAUUAGGAGCAACAAAACAUUUAUCAAACAUGAAGUAAACUAAAAAAACCUAAAAAAAAAAUUAAAAUCAAACAUGAACCAAAUAUCCAUAUAUUUCUUUCACCAAACAAAAUCUAUAUAAGAUUCAAACUAACCAAUCAUUUAAACAUCACAAGUAAGAUUAAAAAGCAAGUGAAACAAUCAAAGGAGCCAAGAGGAGAUUUGGCCAACAAGGAGGACACCAUGACCUUACUUUCAACUUGGUUGUAUCAACGGUGAAUUUUGAUGUUUUUGCUUGGUUUUCAACUUCAAUCCAACAAUUAUGGAUUAGUUGGAUGAAAAUUGGUUUAAGCUUUAUGCAAGAAAAUAAACCUAAACUAUUAGCUUUAUAGGUUAGAUGGUGAUCCAAGAGGAGGGUGAAUCGGAUCUCUCCAAAUUCUUCCCAAACAAUGAUUUUAAUAUAGUUGAAUGGAAAUUAAGACAAUAAGCACUUUUGAUGAAAAUAUAAUAUAAACAAUAACAAUUAAUGAACUUAAAAUCAAAUAUGAACAACAAUAAAUUAUAAUGAGAUAGGGAUAGAGAAAUCAAACCCAAUAAUUUAUAGAGGUUCGGUCCUUAUCCACAAGGCACCUACGUCCUCUCUCUUGGUUGUCCACACCAAGGAUUCAGUCCACUAAUUAAAGAAAAAUUCUUACAAGAUAUAAACAUAUCUUGUACUAAAUCUUUAUCUUUUCCUUAAGGCUUAGAUAGCAACCUUUACCCUUACAAUAUCAAGAUGAUACCUCACCUUUUGUUCUUUUCCAUCCUUGUAUAUCCAAGGUAAUUUGCAAACAAUAGAACAACCUCUCUAAGGCUAAGUUUUUGCUAAGUUUAAGUACAAGAAAAUGAUGAAUGAACAACAAAUAUAAUUUGGAUACAAUAAAGACAAAGAUAUAGACUUUGAAGCUCUAAAAACUCUUGAUUCUUUGAAAGAAUGAAAAUAUGGCUUGUUGGCUUUUGCUCUUUUGAUUCAUCAAUCUUCUUGGUGUGUUGGAGUACCCAAUUUAUAGAGAAAUUGAAGAGAUAGCUGUUGGAAGUGUUUGGGAGAAGAAAAUAGCCAUUGGAAGCACCAUAAAGUAGCCGUUGGAGUGUUUCUGCCCAGAACCAAUCAAUCCCUUGCUUGAGGGGAUCGAUUGGUUCAUGUUUUGAACUAUUUUUCACUUGAAAAUCAUGGCCCGAUCGAUCCCUUCCAUGAGGGGAUCGAUCCUGUUAGUAGUUGGGUGGUAGUUUCGCGUUUUGCACUCUACUUACUAAUUUAAUCAUAACUUGACUUAUACAAAUCCAAAUCAUAAACCGUUUAAAGAUUUAAAAACUAGACUUAAAGGGCUUUCUAUCCAUAUAAGUUCAUCAUCUAAUUCACUGUGUACGAAUUAUAGUGAAUUUUCAAAGUUACGCCUUAUGCAGUUUUUCUGACAACUACAGAGUGUCUAGUAAAAAUUCAAAAUCUUUUCUUAGAAAAUUUAGAUUUUGAUUUUGUUUAAUCCAUUAGAAAGUAGACUCAAAGAGCUUUCCAACCAUAUAAAAUUCAAAUAUUAAAACUUUGUGAAUUAAUACAGAAAAAUAAAAUAAAUUCAAUGUUGGAAAACUUUGUUCUUGUAAAAUAGCUUUCUUAAGUUAAUCUAUUUCUCAAAACCAAUAUUAUCAAAAUUGUAUUAAGUCCAAAAUGAAUAAGUUCACUUUAAAAAAAAAAUUGAACUUUCAUUUAAGCUCAAAUAAAUAAUCUUUAAAGGUAGAUUUGGUUUGAAAAAUAUGAAAACAAAGAAAGGUUUGUUUAAGCUUUGAAAAUCAUAUUGUUUAUUUAGUACCAAGAUAUAAAACUUAAGAACAUGUACUAAAUAAAUCUUUUUCAAAAUCUUGAUCAAGUUUAUUUAACUUUAAUGUUUUUUCAUUUCAAAAUAAGGAUCAAUUCAAGGCUAACAUAAACGUUUUGAAAAUCAAACAAGAAAUCAAUGAAAUAUGAUGUAGAAUGAAAUAAAAAAAAUGAGAUGGAGAUGCUAGAAAAUACAAAGGAUGAAUAUGGAAUGGAUACCUUCAAGCCAAGCACCAAAGAUUUUUCCUCUUUUCUUGACAUUUUUUCCUCUUUUUUUUUUUUUUUCAUGUUUUCUUCCCCUCUUCCAUGCAGCUAGAAAUCAUUGCCCUUGAAUGAAGAAGAAGCUAAAAAAAAAUAAUAAUAAGAUUGAAUAUAGGCCUUAGGAUCAAAUCCCAUCCAAAGGUCAAAAUUACUCAUUUUUUUCAAUUUAAAGAGCAAUAUUUAACCAUUGGAUCAAGAUUCCAUUUGAAAUCUAAUGUCCAUAUUGUUUACUGCAAAUGUGUGAUUUUUAAAGCCCCUAAACUAAUAAAAAGACCAUUUUGCCUUUAGUAUAAAGUUUUGAGUGUUUAGACCCUUUUCUUGGAAAUCAAUGUUCUCAUAUUCAUUUUUUGAAUUUUAGAGCACCAAAAAUCAUGAAAUAUUAUGAAAUUAUGAUAUAAAAUUUUUUGUGAAAAACGAACCUCGAAAAGAUCAAAUUACAAAAAUACCCUUAAGGAUAUUUUUGUAAUUUUACACUUCUUGGAGUAUUGCUGUGAUUCUAAAUGCACUUAAAAUCAUCAAAUAUUAUAAAAUUAUGAUUUGAAAAGUUUAAUGAAAAACUAACCUCGAAAAGGUUAAAUUAUAAAAAUGCCCCUAAAAAGCAUUUUGGUAAUUUUCUCAACUUUCAAAGUACAAUUAAGAUUUUCAAAAUUCUAAAAAUCAUCAAAUAUUAUAAAAUCAUGAUUUGAAAUUUGUCAUGAAAUUUUGACCUCAGGAAUGUCAAAUUACAAAAUAUUCUUAAAAGAUAUUUUAGUAAUUUUACAUCUCCUAAAGUACAAUUUGGAUCUUUAGUGCAUAAAAAAUAAUAAAAAAUUAUUAAUUUAUAAUUUGAAAGAUUUUAUGAAAUUUGAGUUUGAAAAAGCUAACCCCAUCUAUAAAUAGGGAAACUAGUUUACAUCUCAAGCAUCCCAUCUCAUUCCAGACGCUCUUCUUUUCUUUUUUCUUUAGUUCUCUUUUAGUUUUUAGUUAUUUAGCUUUCUUUGUAAUUGGUUUAGGUAACAAAUUUGCCAAUAAAACUUUUUUCUAAAUUCUUUUCUUUAAUGAAUGUAUUCUUUCAUGCAAAUUCUAGUUUUCUUUAAAGCUUUCUUACACUUUUUUCGGUUUUGUAAUAUUGUUUACAAGUUCUUAUAGUUUCAACAAUCUUUCCCAUCCUAUUCUUUUUAGUUUUUAAUCAAGCAAUCCUACUUCCUUCAUUUAAGUUUUGGUUCAUGCAAUCUUGUUUUAUGUUCUAUAAUUUUCAACCUUUCUUAAUCUUAUUAUUUCCAAAUUUCAAUUCUUAUUUUCCGUAGAUCGUGUUCAUUUAGACACGAUCCUAUUACUUACCAAGUAAUAAUUGGUACAGUUGGUUAAGUAAGAUAUAGGCCUUUCUUAGUUUAUAUAUAAAGUUUAAUCUAAGUUUAUAUAUAAAGUUUAAUCUAUCACUUUUGGUACUUGAAUCCACCCAACAAUCAAUUUUAUAAUCCUUCUAGAAUGAUAUCUGAUACUUAUCACUUUAUUAAUUGUUGCGAAAAUAGGUAAAUAGUACUCUAUUGCCAAAUUUUGGGUUUGUGAGGUGCUAUUGGUUUGGGCUAAAUAGGAGGAAGAAAGUUUGUAUACAAUGAGAAACAAUGAAAGAUGAAUAAUGAAAGAUUUGAGCAAAUUUUUAACUUUAUAAUAUGAAUUUAAAUUAAUAAAAAACAAAAGAAAAAGAAAAGAAUGAAAUUAGACAUGACAAUCUACGAUUCCAAUCCAUUGAUCCUAAUAGGAAUCUAAAGCAUUUUUUACUAAUAAAAUAUUUUAUGGUAAAACAAAUUUAACAACAGAGUGCAAUUUAUUAUCGUUAAGUAAUUUUCUUUUGAACACAUAAAUUAGACUUAAUUAAAAGAGAUAUUUUUUAUUAAAAAGGUUACCAACCGUUAAAUUCUUUAUUAAACAUUUAACUUCUUUUAAACUCUUCAAAAAUGUAUUUGAUAAUUUUUCAAAAAAAUUAUCUAUUUCAUUAUUAUAAAAUUUAUUACUUUCACAAUUGCUAUUGAAAUAUUAUUUGAUUCUUUUAUUUUUUAUGAGUUUGAUUUUUUAUUUAUUUAUUAUAAGAUUAAUGUCAAAAUAUACUCCACUUAUUUAUAAGAAAUUUUAAUAUAAUAUUUAAAUCUAAAAAAUUUAUAAUAUUAUACUUAAAUUAUUAAUUAAUAAUCAUUAAUUAAUGUGAUAUUUAAAUAAUUAUUAUUUAUCCGUCAAACCAGAUUACAAGCAAAGGGUACGAAUAAAACAUUAAAGAUUUUAAUGUACAGAUAACAUUAACGCUCCAUUUGUUUCGUAAUAAGUAAUUUUUUAAAAAUGAUUUUCACAUUUUCAUGUACUCAUUUGGUAAAAAUUUCACUAAUCAACAAAAAAUAAAUUAUCGAUCAACUCAAAAUCAUUUUUUUGAAAAUUAUAUUACGAAUUUGAGAAUGAGAGACAUUUUGUAAAAAAAAAACUAAUUAUGAGUAAAACUAUUCAUCAAUACUUUUAAAUAUAAUUUUACUUUUAAAUAAUAUUAUAUUAAUAAAUAAUAUUAUAUUAAUAGAUAAUAUACUAUUAAUAUAAUAUAUUAAUAAAUAAUAUUAUAUUAAUAAAUAAUAUUUAAUAUAUUAAUAAAAUAAUAUAAAAAUAAUAAAUAAUUUUAUUUUAAUUAUAUUUAUAUUAACAUAAUAUUUUAAUAUUAAAUAUUAUUAAAAUAUAAUUAUUUGUAAAUAUUAAUAAUUUUAAUAAUAAAUAAUUUUAACAUGCUUUAAGAAUAAAUAAUUUUUAAUAUUUAAAUAAUUAACUAAUAUUAUUUUUUAAAAAAUAAUCAAAUAAAAAUAUUUUUUAUUAAUUAAUUUAAAUAUUAAAAAAUUACUUUCAAUUCAAAAAAUGUAAAUAUCUUUAAAAAUUAUAUUUCAAAAACCAUUUUUCGCCCGAAACAAUCGAAACUUAGAUAUUAAUGUAUUGUAGAGGUUAUUAUGGCAUUGACGCACAAAUUCCAGUCACCGUUUUGAAUUUAAGCCCAUAUUGCUCUGUUUCUGUCCAGACGUACUACAUCUAUCAACAAAAUAUAUGAUCUAUUACAAGCUUCCACAGAUCUUGAAAUCUCGAGCAGUUGUUGCUAUUCUCUGAAAAUCACAACGUUAUCAAAUACCUAUUAUUUAUCUUGCAAUUGAGACAUUUCCGUGCAUGAAUUCCAAGUCCUCGAAUAAAUCAAUCAUUUAGCAAAAUACUGGUAAAUUAUAAAAAGUUUAAGCAAGAAGAAGAAGAAAAAUUAAAACCAAACCUGAAGGAAGCUACCCAAGACAGGACAAGGUAGGGAAGGUGAGCAACGGUUGGAAAUCAAGGGUAUGGGAGGUGUGGGGAAGAAUUGCACCUCUUUGAUUAAAAAAAGGUCAUAAUUCUGCCCAAAUCCCCCAUACCUAUAACUCACAACACCACUCCCUUUCCCUCCAACUCCUUUCACUUUCGGAAGUUUCAUAUAUGAAAGAAACAAGGGAUAGAGAGAGAUAGAGGAAAUGUUUGGAAUGGGCGGAGUCGGUAGAAGAGAAGAAUUGGUGUAUUAAAAAAAAAAAUGUUUUGCCAAUCCACCCAUCUCCAAAAACUUCCGAUAUCAAUCUCUACCCCUCUCUCUCACGUAUCAGAUGAUUGACUGUUGAAGGAUGAGUGAGCAUUGAGCAUGGCAGUAAAUAUAAAGGGAGAAAACGAGUGAGGUAGUAGGCUUCUUUUUUUCUUUUUCUUCUUUACGAAAGGAAACCGCGUUGUGUUGAAGUCACAUGGAAAAGCAAAGGAAAGUGAGAGGAAGGUGCAGGCAAGGCUGCAGAUGUGGAAAUGGGAUGACAACUUUGGAGAUAAGGACAAUUUACCCACCCAUACGACAACUGCCGUCAUUAGUUUUUUUUUUUUUUUUCGUUUUUUACAAACGUCUAUAACAAGUUUAAAUUUUUUAAUUCUUUAUUUAUAAUAAAAUCAGUAAAUACUAAUUAUUAGUUUUAUAGAAUUAAAUAUUAAUUAUUGAUUAAAUCUAGAAUAAAAUAAGAGAAAAUUUGUUUAUCAAAUAAUAAGAUUUUAAAAUAAAAUUUAUAAAAUUUUAUACAAAAUUUAAAUAAUUUUCACUUUGUAUAAUAGUUUUUAUUUUCCACUUUAUUACAUGCUUAUAAAAUUACUUAAAAAUAAAAAUAAAAUAUUGUUUUUAAAAAACAUUUAAUAUAAUUGAUAUCUUUUAAAUACCUAAAAAUAUUAUAAAUAAAAAUAAUUCUAAAGAAUUUUUAAAAUAUUAAAAUAAAAAUUCUUUCAAAGAAAAAUUAAAUUAAAAAUUUUAUAUUUUAAAAUAAAAAUAUAAAAAUUGUUAACUAAUCAAAUGAGAGAAAUAAUCAAAUUAUAUCAAUUUAUAUAAAAAUAUGAUGAAGUGUUGUACCACGGUGAAAAAAGAAUUAUAAAACUUUUAAAUAUAGUUGAAUGUAAGAAAAAGUAUUAGAAGAAGUAUUUUAAGGUAAAUAAUUAAAUUACCAAUAUAAAUUUUAAAUUAAUUGUUUUUGUUAUAAAUAUAUAAGAAAAAUAGUUAAAAAAUACUUUUAAGGAUAAAACAAAUGUAAGGUAAUGUUUAGUAUGAGAUAAUCACUUUAAAAAUCAUAGUGAUUUGCACGUAGUGAUGUAAAUAUUGUGUUUGGUAAGCAUUUGAUGAUUUUACGUGGUGGUGAUCUUAGAUAACUGAGAGUGAUAAAAUUAUUAUCUUGGAAGGUAAUUUAAUUCAUAUACAAAAAGAUUAGAAAUUUUUAUCAACGAAGUGAAGUAAUGUAUAAAAUUAAUAAUAGUCAAUAUUAUCUAUUUAAUAUGUGAAUUAAAAACUUACUUCUUCUUAAAAUUAUAAUUUUUUUAUAUUUCAAAUUAAUAUUUAUUGUAACAAAUUAAAAAAAAUAUGUUUUCUCUUUCAUUUUUUAAUACUUUAUACAUAAUUUAAUUUUUUUUGUUUUUCUUUUAUUAUGAAUUUAAUAUUAUAUUUUUUAUUUUCUAAUUCAAAUAUUCUUUACAUAAUUUAUAUUAUAAAAAUUAAUUUAUUUAUCAAUAAAUAUAUUUAAUAAUUUAAUAAUAUUUUAUUAUAGAAUAAAUAGAAUAUUACUAAUUUUGACAAAUUAUUAUCUUUAAACAAUAUUAAAAUUAUUAAUUUGUAUAACUAUUAUAAAAUACAUGAUUUUUUGCACUUUUAAAUAAAAUAAUAUUUGAUUUUUAGUAAUACCAAACAUAUUAAUAUUUAAUUCCUAAGAAUUAGUUAUUGUUAACCCAAAAAAGUGAUAUCAAGUCAUGAGUGAUAAUAAAAUUAUCUCGAUAAUUACAUUAUCAUGAUGAUCUUACAAAAGAUACCAAAAGCUACUAAAAAGAAAUGAUAUUUUGGAAUAAAAAUAUUAAUAAAAAAUUUAUUAACUUAAGCAAGUGAAAGAAACCAUAAAAUUCAUAUCAUAUAGCAAAAAAUAUGUUAGAAGUGUUAUCACACCUAAGAAAGAGUUAUAAUAAUUUUAAAAGUAAUAAAAUGUAAGAACAAUAGUAAAAAAAAAAAAAUACUAUUGAAAUGUAAAUGAUUAAGUGAGUAAUGUAAAAUUUUAAUUAAUUAUUAUUUUUAUAAAUAUAUAAGGAAGAUACCUAAUAAAUAAAAAAAAUACAGGCAAUGCAAAUAGGUGUGAGGAUGUGUACCAUUUUAAGAAAAAUAGGUAAGAAAUGUCAUAAUACACUAAGAAAGAUCUAUGACAAUUCUAAAUGUAUUGGAAAAUAAACAAGUGUGAACAAACAAAAAAUUAGAAUAAUUUGGUGUAAAAUGGGUAAAAGGUGUCAUGAGACACUAAGAAAUGUUAUAACAAUUUUAAACAUAAUAGAAUGUAGGAAUAGCUAUAAGCCGAUAGUAUUGUAACAUAAAUAAUUAUGUUGGUAAUGUAAAAUUUUAACUAAUUAUUAUCUUUUAAAUAUAUAAGAAAAAUAGCUAAAAUUGAAAAAAAAAAAGUAACGUAAAGAGUGAGAAAAAAUGUAAAAUAAGUAUGAUUAGGUCUAAAAAUGGAUAACAAGUGUCCUAACACACUACGAAAAAAUUGUUAUAAUUCUAAAGGAAAAUAGAUAAAAUUGAAAAACAAAUAAGUAAUGUAAAAAGCGAGAAAAAACAUAAAAUAAAUAUCAUUAGGUCUAAAAAUGGAUAAAAAGUAUCCUAACACACUAAGAAAAAGCUAUUAUAAUUCUAAAUGUAAUUAAAGGUAAUAACAAUCAUUAAAUAAAUUAUUGUAAUGUAAAUAAUUAAGUUACCAAUAUAAAAUUUUAAUUAAUUAUAUUUAAACAUAUAUGAAAAUAGCUAAAAUUUACAAAAUAAGUUGGUAACAUAAACAAGUAAAAAGAAAUGUAAAAUUAGUAACAUUUAGCGUAAAAUGAGUAUAAAUUGUUGUAAUACACUAAAAAGAAUUAUGACAAUUUUAAAUGUAAUGGAAAGUAAGAACAAUCAUAAUAAUAUAUUAUUGUAACAUAAAUAAUUAUUUUGGCAAUGAAAAAUUUUAAUUAAUUAUUAUUAUGUAAAUAUCUAAGAAAAUAGUUAGAAAUUAAAAAGUAAAUUGGUAGCAUAAACAAAUGAGAACAAAUAUAACAUUAGUAUCAUUUGACAUAAAAUGGGUAAAAAGUGUUAUCACACAUUAAGAAAAUAUUAUGAUAAUUCUAAACAGAAUGAAAAGUAAAAACAACCUUAAGAAGAUAUUAUUGUAAAAUAAAUAAUUAUGUUGACAAGAUAAAAUUUAAUUAAUUAUUGUUCUACUACAACAAAAUUACGAUAUAUUAAUGCUAAAAAAAGUCGGUAUAGCUCAAUAAACCUUUUACCGAUGAUUAAAAUGCCUGUUCCAAUGACAUUUUAGUCAUCAAUAUGUCUCUUGUCGAUAUGGGUUUAUACCAAUAGAUUUUUAACUGUCAAAAUAGAGAUAUAUUGAUGGCUUGAGUCCAUUAAUAAUUGUAUAGCUAUUUAUAUAACAUCUACAGUGUGUUUCUGACAUUAUACUUUUUGUUGGCCUUGAAUUGAUUAAGAGUUUUGAUUUGACAAAAUAAAAAUUUGCCAAACUUGUUUCAAUCUUAAUCUUGUUUAAGCUUAAAUUGAACAUUUUUCCACCCUUCUAUCUUACCAAAAUUCAUUUGAGAACCAAAACAACUCAAAUUCUCGGAACAAAACAUGAUUUAUACAAGUUUUGAUAGAAGGGAUCGAUCCCCUCAAGGAAGGGAUCAAUCCCUUCCAUUACUAGAUCGAUGCCCUAGUAAAAGGGAUCGAUCCUAUUUUCAACCAGAACCGAAAGUUCUCAAGAUUUGGUAAAAAUUGAUCGAUCCCCUUCCUGUAAGGGAUCGAUCCCCUCAUUUAAGGGAUCAAUCACUUUUUCAUAUAGAAUGCUUUCUUCACGUAAUUUUCUAGAAAAGGGAUCGAUCCUCUUACAUAGAGGAUCGAUUACCUAAGGUAAGGGAUCGAUCUCCUCUUAAAGGGCUUGAUCGGUUGUUCAAACAGAAUGUCCCCAAGUGUGAAAACCCAGAAAAGGGAUCGAUCCCCUCACAUAGGGGAUCGAUCACCUAAAAGAACAGAUCGAUCCCUUUAAACAAGGGAUCGAUCGGGUAAGGCAAAAUAGGCAUAAAAUCAAGCUUUCUCAAACAUGAACCAAUCGAUCACUUAAGGGAGGGGAUCGAUCCCCUGAAGGCCUGAAACUUUUAACGACUAUUUUCUGUCCAAAAUUUAUGCAGGUUUAAAGCAUUAAAUGCAAUCCAACGGCUCUUAACUUUUUUCUAAGUAUAAAUCAAGUAUUCUACUAUAGAUCAAGAGUAACAAGAGCUAAAGAAACUUAUUGCUAUUCACCUACCAAUCUACUCAAGUAUUCAAAGCUAUAAAAAAAGAAAAAGUACAAAAUUUAUAUAAGUUUUUCUCUACUUUCUUAUCUAUAUAUUUGUGUACUUCAACUUAGCAAACACCUAGCCCUUGUGAGGUUCUUAGAGUUUGCCAAACACUUUUGAAUUUUAUGUAUUGUGAGUGUGUAAUCUUAAGGUGGAAGAUAACCAUUAAGAGUGUAUGUUGUUGAGUUUGUAAAUCUUUGUGAAAGCUUAGUUCUAAUCUUCAUCAAAUAGUGGAUUGAACUCCUUAGCAAGAGAGGUUAAAGGAGAGGACGUAGGUGCCUAAGAAAGGACCGAACCUUUAUAAAUCUUGAUGUUAAAUUCUCUAACCCUAUCUUUUGUUUAUAUUCAUCUAUUGUGCUUAUCUAUUUUGAUAAUUUGUGAUUAUUGAAUGUUAUCUUUGAAAAUUUUAUUAAAACCAAUUCACCCCAUCUUGGUUUUUCAAGUCUUUGAGCUAACAAUUGGUAUCAGAGCUAGUACUCUUUCUAUAGGUUUAAUAGCCCAAAAGUGAUCUUGAAAAUAGGUUAAAGAAAUAUGGCAAUCAAUGUGGAAAAAUCAUCCUUAAGCUAUAACAACUAUACCUACCAAUAAGCGAUGUGCCUCAUGACAAAUGAAACAGUUGUAACAUCUCUUGGAAGUUGAAGGCAUUCAAUUGUUAGACCUCCUCUCUUUGCUGGUGACAACUACUCCUAUUGGAAGACUAGGAUGAGGCUGUUUAUUCAAGCAAAUGAUUAUGAAGUCUAAAGGGUCAUUACAAAUGGUCCUAAAAUUCCAAUGAAUAUGGUGGAUGGUAAGGAGGUGAUAAAGCUAGAGAGUGAAUGGGAUGUCAAUGACAUGAAGAUGGCUCAACUCAAUGCCAAAGAAAUGCACACAUUCUUUUGUGCAUUGAGACCAUGUGAGUAUAAUAGAGUCUCCUUAUGUGAGAAUGUAAAGGAAAUUUGGGAUAAGUUAGCUGUCACCUAUAAGGGUACAAACCAAGUGAAAGAGACAAAAAUAAGCAUACUUACUCAUGAUUAUGAGUUGAUCAAGAUGAAAUCUGAUGAAACCAUCAGUGAGAUGUCAAAUUGCUUCACCGACAUCAUUAAUGGUUUAAAGGCUCUUAGGAAGACAUUCAAAUGUGGAUAUGGUAAAGAAAAUUCUCAAUAGUCUACCAAAGAAUUAGAAAGCUAAAGUGACAUCCAUUGAAGAGUCCAACGAUCCUCAUACAUUUUUUUUGGAUGACCUAAUGGGCUCUCUCCUCACUUAUGAAAUGAAGAUAAAAAAGAGACAAAAACCAGUCAAAAAAGGUGACAUUGCUCUCAAAUCUACCUUUCAAAAGGAUAAAGAAAAUUUUGCUCAAGAGGAGGAUGAUGAAGAUGAAGAGAUGGCCAUGUUUGCAAAGCGAUUCAAGAAGUUCAUGAGAAUGAACAAGUUUUCAAUUAGGAGAAGACCAUAAAGGAAGAUGACUAAAGGAAAAUCAAGUAGAAGAGAAAAGGAUCAAAUUAUUUGCUAUGAAUGCAACAAAUUAGGUCACAUUAAACUUGAUUGUACUUUAUGAAAAAAGCAGAACAUGACCAAGCCAAAGAAGAAAGCUAUGGUAGCAACAUGGAGUGAUAGCGACUUUUUCGAUGAUGAAUCAAAAAGAAGAAAGUAGCCAACCUAUGUCUCAUGACUCUUGAUGAGCUCAAGGUAACCUCUAAUCCAUGUGAUUCAAAUUCAUACUCAUUUGAUGAACUACAAGAUGCCUAUGAUGAAUUAGCUAUAGAAUUUGAGAACAUAAGCAUGAAAUAUAAGAAAAUGAUCAGUAAAUUGAAACUAGAAAAUGAGUCAUUGACUAAAGCAAAAGAAGACUUAGAAAAGGAAGUUGAGCUCUUGAAGGUAAAUGUCAAUGACUUGACUAAGAAAAAUGAAAAACUGCAUAAUUCAUUUUUUAGAUUUUAUAUGGGUCAUCAAAAACUCAACGACAUGAUAGAAACACAAAGAGCUUUCUUUGAUAAAGAUGGAUUAAGUUAUAAUGGUGACAACAAAGAGACUCACUUGAAGAAAGUCACUUAUAGAGGUAAGCUCAUUAGGAGAGUGUGGAUUCUAAAAGGAGUUAGCACAUCUCAAGAUGAGGCUACUAAAAUGAAGUGGAUUUCAAAAGGCACAAAAAUUAUUAGUACUAACUCUCAAGGACCCAAGAAAAUUUGGGUACCCAAAAUAAAAAUUUAAUUAUGUUUUUGUAAGUGGAUGAGCAUUGCUACAAAGCAAAUUCCAGCAAGAACAAUCAAUGGUACCUUGAUAGUGGAUGCUUAAAACACAUGAUCGGAGAUAAAACUCUCUUUAAGGACUUGAAAGCAAAAAGUGGAGGAAAUGUUACAUUUGAUGACAACUCAAAAGGCCAAAUUGAAGGGAUUGGCUCCAUUGGUAACAAUUCAUCUACUUUUAUUGAAAAUGUUUUACUUGUGAAAGGUCUCAAGCAUAAUUUACUUAGCAUUAGUCAAUUAUGUGAUAAAGGAUUUAGAGUUGUGUUUGAAUCCAUGUGCUGUCAAGUAAUUGAUAUCAAAACUAACAAGCUUGGUUUUGUUGGACACCGUCAAGGAAACAUUUAUGUAGCGCAUCUAGAUGACCUAUCCUCUAAAAAUGUUUGUUUUAUGGCUCAAAAAUAAAAUGAGAGUUGGAUUUGGCAUAAAAGGCUUGGACAUGCAAGUAUGCAUGUAAUUUUAAAACUUUCUCAAAAUAAUUUGGUUGUUAGUUUGCCAAAGUUGAAAUAUGAAAAUGACAAUGUUUGUGAUGCAUAUGCUUAAGAAAAACAUAGAAUAAUUUUUUUCAAACCUAAGAAUUGCAUUUCAACUAUUAGACUUCUUCAACUAUUGCAUAUUGAUAUUUUUGGCCCUACUAGAACAAUGAGUCUUAGUGGAAACCAAUAUGGGUUUGUUAUUGUUAAUGAUUUCACUAGAUUCACAUGGGUUCUCUUUUUGCAUUCAAAGAAUGAGGCUUUGGAAAAAUUCAUCACUUUUAGCAAACAAAUACAAAAUGAAAAAAGUUAUUCAAUUACUAGUAUUAGAAGUGAUCAUGAAAAGAAAUUUGAAAAUCUAGGCUUUAAUAUACUUUGUAGUGAAAAUGGUAUUAGCCACAAUUUUUCUUCUCUUAGAACUCCUCAACAAAAUGGGGUAGUAGAAUGAAGAAAUAGAACUUUAGAAGAAAUGGCUAGAACCAUGCUUUGUGAAAACAAUCUACCUAGAUAUUUUUGGGCGAAAGCCAUAAAUACUUCUUGUUAUAUUAUAAAUAGAGCUAUGAUUAGGCCAAUUUUGAAAAAAACCCCUUAUGAACUUUUUAAAGGAAAAAGGCCUAACAUAAGUUAUUUUCAUCCUUUUGGUUGCAAAUGUUUUAUUUUGAUAAAUGAAAAAGAUGAUCUUGGAAAAUUUGAUGCAAAAAGUGAUGAAGGAAUUUUCGUAGGAUAUUUUUUGAAUUCAAAAGCUUAUAGAGUUUUCAAUAAAAGAACAUUAGUGGUGGAAAAGUCUAUGCAUGUUAUUUUUGAUGAAUCUAACCCACUUCUAAGAAAGGUGUUUCUUGAUGAUGAUGAUGUAAGUAUACUUCAAGAAUGGAUCAAUGAUGAACCUUAUGACAUUGAGAAAAAAAAUCAAAAGAAAAAAGAUGAGUUUUUAGAAGAGCCACAACACAUAAAGAGAGAGCCAAAUCAUCUUAGAGAAAAGAGGUAUGUCAAAGAUAGUGAAAUCAUUGGUAAUCCAACUUAAGGGGUAAGAACUAGAUCUUCUUUUAAUGUGUGUAAUUAUGUUACUUUCCUAUCUGAUAUUGAACCUAAAAAUAUAGAUGAAGCAUUAGGAGAUGAUCAUUGAAUUUUGGCCAUGCAGGAAGAAUUAAACCAAUUUGAAAGAAACCAUGUAUGAAAUCUUGUACCUAGGCCUAGUGACCAUCCCACCAUAGGCACCAAAUGGGUCUUUAAGAAUAAAAUGGAUGAGAAUGCGAAUAUCAUUAGAAAUAAAGCUAGAUUGGUAGCUCAAGGGUAUAGGUAAGAAGAAGGAAUAGAUUAUGAUGAAACCUAUGUUCCGAUAGCAAGGUUAAAAGCCAUAAAGAUGUUACUUGCAUUUACAUGUUUUAAAAAUUUUAAGCUUUUUCAAAUGGAUGUUAAGAGUGGAUUUCUUAAUGGUUUUAUAAAUGAAGAAGUGUAUGUAAAGCAACCUCUCGGUUUUGAAAAUCCAAAAUUUCCAAAUCAUGUUUAUAAAUUGACAAAAGCAUUAUAUGAUUUAAAACAAGCUCCUAGAGCUUGGUAUGAAAGAUUGUCAAUUUUUUUGAUUGAAAAUGGUUUUAAUAGAGGAAAGGUUAACACUACACCUUUUAUUAAAACAAAAGGUAAGGACAUUCUCAUAGUGCAAAUUUAUGUUGAUGAUAUUAUAUUUGGUGCUACUAAUGAAAUUCUUUGUCAAGAAUUUGCUAAGAUUAUGUAAGGUGAAUUUAAAAUGAGCAUGAUGGGAGAACUCACAUUCUUCUUGGGACUACAAGUAAAGUAAACAAAAAAUGGCACCUUCAUUAAUCAAGCCAAAUACAUCAAGGAUUUGCUUAUAAGGUUUGAAUUGAGAGAAUCAAAGCCUUGUUUAACACCAAUGAGCACCUUAACAAAGCUUGACAAGGAUGAAUGAGGUAAAUGUGUUGACUCUAAACUAUAUAGGUCUAUGAUUGGUUCAUUGCUAUAUCUUAUUGCUAGUAGACUUGAUAUUAUGUUUAGUGUAUGUUUAUGUGCUAGAUUUCAAUCAUCUCAUAGAGAAACACAUUUGUCUACUAUUAAAAGGAUUUUUAGAUACCUUAAGGACAUCCUAAAUUUAAGAUUAUGGUAUCCAAAAGGCUCUUCCUUUGCUUUACAUGCCUAUUCGAAUGUGGAUUUUGGUGGGUGCAAAAUUGAUAGAAAAAGAACUUCUGAUAUUUGUCAAUUGUUUGGAAAUAUGCUCAUAUCAUGGUUUUUCAAUAAACAAAAUAGUGUUGCUCAAUCUACAACUGAAGCUGAAUAUGUAACGACUGGAAGUUGUUGUACCUAGGUUUUGUGAAUUAAGCAACAAUUAGAGGAUUUUGGAAUAAUCAUGGAUCAUAUUCCCAUUAAAUGUGACAAUACUAGUGUCAUCAACCUCACUUAAAAUCCAAUUCAACACUCUAAAACCAAACAUAUUGAAAUUAAACAUCAUUUUAUUAGAGAUCAUGUUCAAAAGGGUGACAUUGUACUUGAAUAUGUUGACACCUUGCAUCAACUAGCUGAUAUCUUCACAAAACCUCUUGAUAAGGAUAGAUUUUAUGCAAUGAGAGGUGAACUUGGCAUGAUGAAUGCUCCUUGAAAUGAAAUUCUUGAUGUUAUCAUGUAUGGUGCACUUUUGAUUGAUUAAAUGUAUGUUUUUCUGAAUUUUUCUUUGGUUUGUGCAUGAUUGUAAAAUGCUUGUUUGAAUGAUCAUAUUGCAUGGUUUUCAACAUGCUACAGCAAAAACCAAUCGAUCCAUUUUGGAAUGGAUCGAUUGGUUCUUCACCCCGUAACCAAAGUAAAAAGAAAACAUAGGGAACCAAUCGAUCCCCUUUGGAUAGGAUUGAUCGAGUGUAAAGGCAGUAGCCAAUUUCGUUGAACCCAGGCAAAAUCGAUCGAUCCCUCUUGGGACAAGAUCGAUUAGGUGUGAAGGCAGUAGCCAAUUUCACUAAACCCAAGAAGAAUCGAUUGAUCCCCUCUUUGACAGGAUUGAUCGGGUAUUCAACCAGUAGCUAAAAUGACUUGGAAAGGUGCAAAACUGAUCUAUCCCCUUCAAACCCAAUCGAUCGAUUUCAUGCAAAGGUAAAAAAUUGAUCGAUCCCCCACUUCACCUGAUCGAUUGAUUCAUGAAUUUUGGGCAUGAUAAAUUCAGGUUCUCACCUGUUUAGCCGAUCCUUUCAUCUUUCCUUUCCUAUUCAUCUUCUUUCCCAACUUUUUCUCUCUACACUAUACAUAUUCCCAUUAAAAAUUGACUCAUUCUCUUACAAAUUUCUCUUGUAAACUCACUACCCACUAUUUCUUACUUAUCAAACUCAUUUCCCAUGGCACCCAAAAUGAAAGUCAUGGCUGGACGACAAAACCCUCCAAGAAAGGCUUCAAGCUCCACCAUGAAGCCUUUUUUCAACCAAAAUUUCAACAAUCCCGAUGCCAAGGAGUGGUAUGAGACACACUUUGCUCAUCGGGAAGUAAAGCCUGAAAGGGUAAUCUCGUUAGACUUCCUUCAAUCAAUAGAGUUUUCCUAUUUGCAUACUUUUGAGUCUUUUGGAUGGAUGCCUUACUUGUGUAUAGAGAGUCACUUAUUUGAGAAUCUAGUAAGAGUGUUCUAUAGUAAUGCUAGCUGUGUUCAAAUUGAAGGAACAAAUAGGCAUUUCCUUGAUAGGUUCAAAACAAAUGUAAAGGGGAAGAAAAUCUUAGUUACAAAAUAAGUGCUAGCUGAGGCCUUUACAUUAGCUGAUAAAAGGGAAACAAAUCCUAGAUGUGAUAUGGUGCAACUAGCUCAAGAUAUCUUUAGGAAUCACAAUUUAUAGGUUGCUCUCACACAAGCCUCUAGGUUACCCAUGCAUGAUCGAUUGCUACACCUUAUUAUAACCCAUGUGUUAGCCCUUUUUGGGACCCAAUACUCUACCAUUAAGAAACAAGAUUAUUGGUGGAUGUACAAGACCAAGCAUGAACAGAAACCAAAUUUGAUACACUUCAUUUUUAGUGACAUGAUGAGUAUUGUCCGGAAUAAAGAUGUUACUCUGGUAUAUGGGUAUGCUAUAAGCAAUCUUUUAAGACAUUUGCAAGUAAACACUAGAGGUGACAGAGAGAUGCACAUCAAUGACCCAUUUAGUAUUCUUGGGCCUCUUACAUUGCAUAGUAUGGGGUAUGUUGAAACUCCAGCUGGCCAAUGGGUUAAAAAGAGGGAUAUUGGUGUUGCACAAGAGGAAGAGGAAGAGCAAGACCUUGUAGAUAUGCCUGCACCUCAAGGAGAACCCCCUAGCACACCUUUUGACACUCAAGGUGCCCUAGAAAUGCUCUUACUUCAUAUGAACAGCCUGCACUCGGUGGUUGGCACUAUGAGUACUAGAUUGGAGUCCAUGGAGGAAACUUAAAAUGAACUUGUGGCACAAGUCCAGCAUUUUUGAGCUGAUAUUGAGCAUAUGAGGUCUACUCCUCAGCACAUGGGACAAUCUUGCAUUACUCUCCUCUUCCACCUCCAUCUUUUCAUUCUCCACCUCCACCUCAAUGAAGCCUUUUUACUGCCAUCUUUUAUGUUUUCCCACAUUUUCUUUAUUUUUGUAAAUAUAACUUUGCAUUAUUGGUUUGUGACUUUGCUCUUAUAUUAAUGCAACUUAUCUUUUAUUCUCUUGUUGGCUUGUGACUUUUGUGGCUCUGUGGCAUUGUUGUUGUGUUUUCAUGUUUAAAGUGAAUCUUGGGUGGCUGAAUUGCUUAAAUCCCUCAUUCUUGAAUUUACUUCAUUUACAUAUUUUUGCUUUAUGACAAAAAAAGAGAAAUAUUGUAAUGAAAAUUGUUGAUGUAUGAAAAUCUGAUAUGUUUCUGAUCAUUGAUAAUGAAUAUUGGCAUUGAUAUAUUGAUGGUAUGGUGAUAUUACUCUUGUUUAGUUUGCCUUAAAUCUUAUGCCUAAAUUCAGGGGGAGCUUUUUUCAAAGGGGAAAAUGUUUUUCAUGCAAAUUUUCAGUUUGAUUUUGGUCAUAUCAAAAGGGGGAGAUUGUUGGCCUUGAAUUGAUUAAGAGUUUUUGAUUGACAAAUAAAAAUUUGCCAAACUUGUUUCAAUCUUAUCUAAGCUUAAAUUGAACAUUUUUCCACCCUUAUCUUGCCAAAAUUUAUUUGAGAACCAAAACAACUCAAAUUCUCGGAAUAAAACAUGAUUUAUGUAAGUUUUGAUAAAAGAGAUCGAUCUUCUCAAGGAAAGGAUCGAUCCCCUCCAUUACCAGAUCGAUCACCUAGCAAAAGGGAUCGAUCUUGUUUUCAACCGGAACUGAAAGUUCUCAAGAUUUGACAAAAAUCGAUCAAUUCUCUUCCUAUAGGGAUCAAUUGGUUAACAGAAUGGAUCGAUCCCCUCAUUUAAGGGAGCAAUCACUUUUUCAUACAAAAUACUUUCCUCGCGUAAUUUUUUAGAAAAGGGAUCGAUCCCCUCACAUAGAGGAUCGAUCACCUAAGGUAAGGGAUCGAUCCCCUCUUAAAAGGAUCGAUCGGUUGUUCAAACAGAAUGUCCCCUAAGUGUGGAAACCCAAAAAAGGGAUCGAUCCCCCCACAUAAGGGAUCGAUCACCUAAAAAAACCAAUCGAUCCCCUUAAGUAAGGGAUCGAUCGGGUAAGGCAAAAUAGGCAUAAAAUCGGGCUUUCUCAAACAUGAACCAAUCGAUCCCCUAAGUGAAGGGAUCGAUCCCCUGAAGGCCUGAAACUUCCAACGGUUAUUUUUUGUCCAAAAUUUAUGCAGGUUUGAAGCAUUAAAUGCAAUCCAAUGGCUCUUAACUUCUUCCUAACUAUAAAUCAAGCAUUUCACUGCAGACCAAGAGUAACAAGAGCUAAAGAAACUUAUUGCUAUUCACCUACCAAUCUGCUUAAGCAUUCAAAGCUGUAAAAAGAGAAAAAGUGUAAAAUUCAUAUAAGUUUUUCUCUACUUUCUUAUCUAUACAUUUGUGUACUUCAACUUAGCAAACACCAAGCCCUUGUGAGGUUCUUAAAGUUUGCCAAACACUUCUGAAUUUUCUAUAUUGUGAGUGUGUAAGCUUAAGGGGGAGGAUAACCUUUAAGAGUGUAUGUUGUUGAGUUUGUAAAGCUUUGUGAAAGCUUAGUUGUAAUCUUCAUCAAAUAGUGGAUUGAACUCUUCAGCAAGAGAGGCUAAGGGAGAGGACGUAGGUGCCUAAGAAAAGAUCGAACCUCUAUAAAUCUUGGUGUUAAAUUAUCUAACCUUAUCUCUUGUUUAUAUUCAUCUAUUGUGCUUAUCUAUUUUGAUAAUUUGUGAUUAUUGAAUAUUAUCUUUGAAAAUUUUAUUAAAACCAAUUCACCCCCCUCUUGUUUAUUCCAAGUCUUUGAGCUAACACUUUUUACUGAUAGUUAAUACCCAUUGAUAUAAACUUUUAUGUUUUGAAUUUUCCUAUCUAUACCAAUAGUUUGUCUAAUGUUAUAUCUUUUAUCAAUGGUCAAUGACUAUCGAUACAACCUUAUGCAUUUUUACCUAUACUGAUAGUUUGUCUAACAUUUUAUUUUUACCGACGUUAAGACUCGUUGAUAUAGCAUUAUUUGUUUUUACCUAUAUCGACGAUUAAUAAGGUGGUAGAGAUGUUAAAGCAUUGUUAAAAAAGAUUUCUUUUUUAAUUAUUAAUAUUAAUUUAUUAAUAAUCUUAUAAUACGAUAUGAUUUCAUAAAAGUAAAAAUACACAAUAAAGUACAAGAUAUUUGAUAACAUUUGAAAUUAAAUUACAAACAAAUUGUUUUAUAAUCAACAAAACUAAGAAUAGGCCAAUAACUAAAGUCAUUGUAAGAAGUCUAGGUUAAAACAAUCAUCAUUGAGUGUCUACAAACAUAAUGCUUGAAGUAAAUAAAUAAUUACCUGAAAUAACUAAUCCCAUCAUAGGUUUUUAUGGAGCAACAUCUGUAUAAAAUAAAAAACAUAAUUACUUACUUAAGUUAAGAACAAAAAAAUUAGAGUAAUUUUAAAAAUGAUUUAUAUGAAACACUAAAUACCAAAAUAUUAGUAUGUAAACAGUACUAAACAACAUUUAUGUUAUUUUAUUUAAAUUAAAUGUCCAGCAAAAAAUUAGAGUAAUUCUAGGUACAUAUAGUAUACAAAACUCAACCUAAUUGCUAUUAAUGAUAGAUUUUACACACAAAAGACAAAUUUUAAUAAAUAGAUAAAGGAACCAAAAUAACAAAGUAACUUAAAAUGGUAUUGCAUAAAUAACUCAAUUCCAAUUUCAAUGAGCAAAAGAACAUUAUAUACAUAUAUAAAGAUAGGCAUGAAAAAAAUUGUAAUAUUUACAAUUGAAUGUAUCAUCUCUUACCAACGUGAUUCAAAGAAAAAGCAAAAAAAAAUAAUUGUAUAACUCCAAAUAGUAUAUGAAGGUAGACUUAAAAAACCAAUUUCAUAUAUAAUAAUCAAUAAGAAAUUUUAAAACAAAUAGCAUUUUAAAUAAGAUUGUUGUCUAAUGCCAAAGUAGGUUCGCUAAUAUAACUUGUGCAAUGUUAAAUGCAUACCAUACAAAAGUGUGCACUACAUAAGUCAUAAGCCACUUAUUUAACAAGGAAAAGCAUAAGGUAAUGGUAAUCAGCCAUAGUAUAUUACAAGGAUACUAAAUAAUUAUGACAGCCAAGAGGCACUUCUCGACCUUUUGGUAAAAAUUGGAGCACAUGAUUAGGAGUAAAAAAUUCCAUGAUGCCAAAUGCAAAAAUUAUUCCAUAGGCCUAUACAGUUAUCAAUAAAUAUUUUUAAAUAUACGUUAUCAAUAGGAAAUAGCAUAUAUUAUAAGACAUUGCUUAAAUUAAAUGUUACUUCAUAUACCAUAAGAAAAUACCUAAUUAAUGAGCAGGGACAUUGUAUGAUUAUUGAAGUCCUAUCACUUCACAAACUUAAAUAUAAAAUGAUAGAUCAACAAUUAUUUUCUUAGAUAUAAUAGAUCCAGGUCACAAUUGGAGUAAUGUUUCUAUAAUCCAAGUGGAGCUCUACUUAGGACUUUUGCAAGAGCAUAUAAGAGCGAGCAUAUAGCAUUUUACAAUACAAAUUAGUGGGUUUUCAGUAAUUCUUGAAGCAUAGGCAUUUUACCCUUUUUCUCCUUAACCGUGAUCAUGGGGCAUGCCUAAGAAUUUUGGGUGAUCAUUGAUUAGUUCAUUUGUUCUAUUCAAGUAUUUUAGAAUUGUGGGAAGUUUAACCUCUCUUAGUUGACUAAAUAAAGUUAGCCAUAGUUCUGGUUGAUUUUUUACUAGUCAGAUAAUAUUAAAUCCACAAAUGAAAGGCAAUAUAAAAAGGCUUGCAUGAGUGAGUGAACAUAUAUAAUCAUCUAGUAACUUGCGUAUCCUACGUGGAUUAUUCAACUUAGUCAAUAAAAUAAUGUGAGAGCUUAAAAGCCAAGUUCCAAUUUGUUAACUUGCAUUUUCUCUUACUAUGGCUUGCGAGUUUACAAUUAUGGCUAUAUCAACGGUCAUCAAAGCUUUAUUUUUAUCUUUUUUUUUAACUCAAAAACAAAAAAUCUUAAUAGUUAGUGCUUAUUAAUCUAGUAUUAGUGACAAAUUAGUAUCCGUUAGUUCAAAAACUUUGAAAUUGAAACAAUAUCAAAACAUGAUGCUUAUGUACUAUUAAAAAAACCCCAGGAUGCAAGCAUUAAAUCAAUUUAUUGUCAAGAACUAGGCUAGGCUAAAAGAAGAAACCCAACUGUUAUGAACAAGGACUGGCAACUACAUAUAGCAUACGAUAUCAUUCCACACAUCAAAUAAAGGCUCUCUGACAAUUUUCAAUUUUUUUCAAGCUUAAGAAUUCUAAAUGGAGACCUAGGUUGUAAGCCAUUCUAAACUUUUUAAGUCUUGACAAUUUUAUUCCUAUGUUAUUCUUUUCAAUUGUUUCAAAAGCUCCUUAAGAAUCAUAAUAUAAAUUCUUUAGAUGGCAAUCAUAAUGGUUAAGAAACUUGCUUUUUUAAUAAAUUCUUUAUUCUGCCUAAUAGAUACUAAUUUAAAAAAAACUGCUAAUUUAAAAAAACCUGUAAGCUAUUCCCAAAAAAUUAAGAAAAUUGUAAAUGGUAAGGCAAAAAUCCCAACCUACCCAUUAUCUCUAAUCGGGGACUAUCAGUUAAGGGGACGUAGCAGCAAUAGAAUGGCUUUCACGAAUUGAUUCAUUUAACAGGACAUGGCAUCAACAGACUGGCUUUCAUGAUUUGAAUCGGUUAAAGGUACAUGACAGCAACAGAGUAGCUUUCAUGGUGGAAAAGCGUAAAAACUGAGAACAUGGCAGUCAGAGAACUCACCUCUGAGAAACAACCAAGACGAAUUGUCAGUUGAAGGGGACUACCGGUGCCAACUAUAGCAACGACCAUGACAGCAAUAGAGCUUAGGAAAAGGAUUGUGGUUUUAAUGGUGGCAGCGAAGAUAAGGGGUAAAGGGCUUGUUUAUUUAAGAGGAAAUACACAGCUUAUCUCAAAAUGAAAAGAAACAAUAC